GAUGCAGUGGGCAAGGCCCAAUAUGUGUUUAUGUGUUAUUGUAUGGUAUGUGGUAGUUUGGGGGAGCUCACUAAGCUUCGUGCUUACAGUUUCAGUUUUGGUUUCAGGUACUUCCGCAAGCAAAGGGAAGAGCUCUGGAUGACGGCAUCACACACACCACCGUUUCAGUUUUAGUUUGGAUUGAUUUAGUUGUUGUUUUGGAUAUAGCAUGUUACAUUUUCCGCACAGUACUUUAUUAUCUUUUGAGACAUAUCACGCAUGGUUUAUUUAUAUGAUACUCUGAUUAUAGUUUUGAUGGUAUUAAAAACGAAAUUUUUGGGUCGUAUUUUUGGGUUGUUUCAAUCUUCAUCUUCUCUCUAUGAAAUCAUCUGACUUGGUUAUCGGAGCCUCGUUUCGGGACUUCCUGCCGAACGAGGACUGACGGACUUGUUCUUUUGCUGUGAUUCUCAGGCACUCCAUCCCUUCCAUCAAAGAGAGGGAACUAAGCCGAAGACUUGUCACAAUAACUAUCGUGCAUUAUGAUUCGGCCCAACAAAGUCUAAGUCGAAAACAUGCGUUGCGUUCCAACUCGGCUUUUAAAAAAAAGUAAUAGGAAAGACGGAAGUUUGCUUGAAAAAAAAUACCACAUCUCCACUUCUUAAACGAAAAAAAUAAAAAUAAAACAUGGUGGUUUCCAUUUAACCCAUGUAUAUUAAUACAUUUCAAAGGAAAUGGAAAGGAAUUUGGGCUCAUUAUUUAAAGAUGAGCUCCUUCUAAUUUAUUUUGAGCUCCUCCCAAAUGGGCUUCAAUAUAUUAUGUUAGGUUUCUUCUAAAUGGGGUUUCACGUUAUUGGGCUAUAAUAAUAUUAUGGGCCAUUUUUCAAGAUAAAUCCAUUCAAUCAACCGUUCAUCGUUCGUGUGUUGCGAUUUCAUCCAAUAAAAUUCGAUUUUAGAAGAUGUUUUGCGGUCCAGUCCAUUCGACAACUUUUCAAAAAAAAAGCGGGGGGGGGGGGGGGGGGGGNNNNNNNNNNNNNNNNNNNNNNNNNNNNNNNNNNNNNNNNNNNNNNNNNNNNNNNNNNNNNNNNNNNNNNNNNNNNNNNNNNNNNNNNNNNNNNNNNNNNNNNNNNNNNNNNNNNNNNNNNNNNAGAAGAGUAGUGCACUACUACUGCUACUCCAUGAAGCGUUUCAGAGCAUGAUCGCUAGAAAGGCUCAAGUGAGUUAAGGCUUGAACGUGCAAACACAAGCCAAUAUCAUACAUCCAUUCGUUCUCACUCCUCACCUUUUCUAAAAAAAAUAGGAGUAGGAGGGUUAGCACGACACUAUGUAGAAGUGAUUUUUAUUCCAAAGGGCAGAGUUAAAGUAAAUGAAGAGAUAAUACUAUGUAUGAUAGUGCAUUCCCGAGGUGACAUUAAUAUUCCGGAUCGAAAGAGUAGCCUCAUGGUUCAAACCUCGGUAGUCUCAUUUUCCCAACUCUUAGUAGUCGUGUUGUUCAUCUAUUACUAGCAACUCACUGCCCAAUUCUUAGCGUCUCUGUUGUGCAGCUCACGACAGUAAUCCCACUACACACCUCUUGACAGCAGCUCCACCGUCCAGCUAUCAUUAGCCUCGCUGCAUAGCUAUCGAAAAAAUCAUUAGAAGACGAGGCACCAAUCGUCACUACAGCUAAUGAUGCAGCAAAAGCAUUAGGUGCUAUUACACUUCAGCCCAAACUGUUCACCCGAGCCAGAGCACAUAGAUUGUAGGCUGCUACGCCCAAUCUGCAAGGUUUAGCACCCUUUCCUUGAGUAGCCUAGCUUCUAAGCCCCACUCCAUUAUAGCGGAAAGCUUCGCCUACAAGGUUCAUUACCCUUGCCUUGAGUCGCCUAGCUUCUCAGCUCGACUCCAUUAUAGCGGCAAGCUAUACCUGUAAGGUUCAACACCCUUGCCUUGAGUCGCUUGGCUUCUCAGCCCGACUCCAUUAUAGCGACAAGCUCCGCCUACAAGGUUCAGCACCCAUGCCUUGAGUCGCCUGGCUUCUCUGUUUGGCUCCAUUACAGGGGCAUGCUCCGCUAACAAGGUUCAAAGGCAAGCAACCUUUGCCUAUAUGAUUCCACGCGAUGAUCUCCCGCGUGAUGUAUCUAUGAUUGUUGGCAGCUAAGUCCGAUCUAUUCCACGUGAUGCUCUCCUGUGUGAUGUAUCCAUGAUCGUUUGCCGUUAAGCCCGAUCUGUUCCACGCGAUGCUCUCCCGCAUGACAUCUUCAUGAUCGCUGACUGCUAAGCCUGAGUUAUUCUUCUAAGCCGCACAAUAUAAGUCACUUAUUGUCACGCACCAUAAGCCGUGCAUCAUAAGUUUAUACCAUGCCUAGCACCACACUCUUGGUGUUUCUUCUCCCACAAACAUCAUGGUUUUCUUGUGCUCGGACGAUCAAUAAAGCAUUUUCUACAUUACAUCCCACUAUAGUGAGGUUAAUCUCCAGCAAGAAUGUUAUCACAACAACAGCCUGCUACCUACAACCUUUUAGCAUCUCCGUUGGCUAGAUCUCGACAACAAUCUUGCUUUUCAACCCCUACCUAUAGCCUUGCCGCUCAUCCCUUGGCAUCUCUGUUUCCUGGCUCUCAGCAACAGUCUCGUUGUGUAUCCCCCACCUAUAGUCUCGCCGCUUAUCCCUCAGCGUCUCUAUGCCCUAGCUUUUGGUAAUAACCUCUCUGCGUAACCCCCACUAGCAACCUAAUCACCCAGCCCUAGAACCUCUGCCACCUAUUAUAUGGUCAAUAACCUUACGGUUUAUCCGUUUGACAACAUCCAUCUCAGACAAGAAUCUUGCUACUUUUUAUUAUGCUAACAACUUCAUUGUGUAUUGUUAUAACAACCAUGCCUUAUUCACCAUAGUCUGAUCCGGAUACCUAUGUUACCUACAUCAGACUGGGGGGAUCCAACUAGGUACAACCCAAGCAGGAAACACCUUCAGGAUGGUUAUUAAUGCUCAUGCAAAGCAGACUAUAUAGAUGGUUAUCAGUGACAUUCCAUCUGCGCUGCACACUCAUAUGGCAGCCUUGAUAUACAUGUCAUCAUCAGUAGCAACCUUAAUGCAUGACUACAACAACUUCAUCGGAUAACAGUCUUAUGGACUGAAUGGCGAGCUUACACUUCAUAGCUACCUUGGCUCGAUGCCUUAUUAACAUCAUUGUUGCAUAACAGCCCCACUCCGCAUAACAUUAUCAGUAGCCUCGCGCUGCAUGAUCGCAGUAACAACUACGUUGCAGCACAUCGACCGUAUCAUAUUCCUGACAAGAAAAGAUCAUUAACCCAACUCUCGCUGCAUAAACCCAUGCCCGCCUCAUCGUGCAACACCACAACUCUUGUAGGCAAGGUUCGGUUGUUCUUUUUAUUCUUUGAUAUAUUGGUUCUUUGUCUAGUCCGAUCCGAUUGUCAGCAAUCCAAUCACAUUAGACUAGGGGGACUUGAUGACAUAGGGUUUAUAUGACAGAGUCCAGUCCAAUGAUAUUGGUCGCUUACCAAUAACAUCGGACUGGGGGACUUAAUGAUAUUAGGUCCAUUAGCAUGGUCCAGACGACUCUGGCGCGCCAGCCUUGCCUGACGUUCCCUUGCUAGCCUUUCUUGACACUCUCAUGUCGACCCGACUUGACACUCCCUUGCUAGCCUUUCCAGGUGUGUGCCUGCCAGCCUUGCCUGGUGCGCGCUCGCCAGCCUCACCCAAUGCCCCUCGGCCAGCCUUGCCCAACUCCUUGCUAGAUGGGCCUCAAUUGGGCUGGCCCAAGGCCUAACCUAAUUCCCUUUGACCUAAUUGUCCUGUAUAAAGUGAACAAUAUCUCCUCCAUAAAGAGGGAUCUUCCCCCUUGGCUCAGCCGCUGUCUUAGACUCCGACCGGGUGGCUCAGCUGCCACCCUCCGCCUUCAGCCACCAUACAUUACCUCCAUCGCCAAGAUGGUUCUCUCCAGCUAAGGAGAACCACCUCACUUCUACCAACCGAUCUAACUUGAUCGUCAGAGCUCGAGGCACAGUCCCUGAGACGGUUUUAACGAUCUUGUCUGUUGUGACCUCGCAGAUUUCCUCUGGCGUAGGAGCACAUCAUUAGAGCAAGUGGUCGGAAUGUUGCAUCACACUUAAAAGAAACAUCACUACAACAAUUAUUUUAAACAAUUAAUGAAAACAUAAUAUAUUUAUUAGUAUAAAUUUUAACGUAAUGACAAAAACAUCUCCAUUCCAAUAGUAACAAAAUGUUAUUUUACAUCUUAUUAAUUUACUAUUAUUGUUUUUGACUACUUUAUUACUUUAUUUAUUUCAAAAAGUACAAAAUAAAAAUGAAUGGAGUUGACAAAGUUUGUGAUAAUAAAUAAAAAAUAUUUUGGCUAAUUUAAGAUGACACUAUUUAUAACAGGUUGGGCUCAUAUGCAUUAAAGCCACCAAUCUUUCAAGCCCAACAGCUUCAUAUCUGUUCUGUUCAUAUUAUCGACCCUACCUUCUUCCGCAGCUACUUCGCUGUUGGUGGCUGACAAGGUUCUUCUGUGGUGUUGUUUGUUGUGUGGACUAUCUCCCGUUAAAAAUGGCGUACGCGGUGUUGAAGCGAUCUUCCAUGAUGAAGUCAAUGAUCGGAGAAUCAUGGCGGAGGUUUGCUUCCGUUGCAGUAGGUAGCGAUCUUGUAGCAGCCGCUCCCAAUGUUUCUCUCCAGAAGGCUCGGUCAUGGGAUGAAGGCGUCUCCUCCCAAUUCUCCACCACUCCUCUUUCUGACAUUUUCAAGGUCUGUUUCUUAGCUACUACACCCAAAUCGGAAUUGGAAAUUUAGGGUUUGUGAGCUUACUUUACUGUUCGAUAUAUUUUCAGGGCAAAAAGGUCGUCAUCUUUGGGCUUCCUGUAAGUUUGUCUUUAUUCGAUAAUAUAUGUUCAAUUUCGAUCAUUUACAUGGGGCAAUUCGUAAAAGCAUCGUCCUUUUACUCAUUUCUAAUUUGAUUUUAUUAAUGGGCUUACAAAUCUUGAUUAGACCCAUUUAACUUUUCGAAAACUGAUUAUUUUUUGAUAAGUUUUGAUCGAAACCCUCAAAAAUUAUCCAUGCCUUUAACAAAUUGUGAGAUUAGUAAGGGAAAAACAAUUCAUUUCAGUUUGGUAGUAUAAUAUUUAGGUAUUAUCUGAUAUUAUUGGAUAUAUUCAUUGUAGUUUGUUGUUUAUAAUUGCAUCUGCUCAAUUUCACUUAUGAGCACUCUAUUUAUUGGUGAAACAAAAAAAUUAAAACAUUGAUUAAAUGGAUUGAUCGAUGCUUUAAAUAUCUUAAUGAGAAUACAUCUCUUCAAGAGAUAAUCUUUUGGGACAACAUCAAUUUUAAAGUUUUAGGCAUCCUUAUAACAUGUAGAGAUUAAUGACUACUUUAUGCUGAACAAUGUGAUAGAAUUUAGAGAAGUCAUGUGUAACUUAUUCAAGUACUUGACUAUGGAAGUGAAGUUAAAUUACUUAAACCUCAAUUUGUAGAAUUUUAUGAUUUUUGUUGACCUACAUUGCUAAAAGAGUUCAUAUUGUUUAUUCAUAUAAAGACAAGAUUUUCUUAUUUGACUUCAACAAAGAAAAUUAUGACAAGGGUCUUAUAUCUAGAAAAAAGGUGUAUCUUUUAUGUAUUUUGUUUUUUCCUCAACCAUUUACCAUAUUUUAUUCUCCUUUUUUUGAAAUUAUAUAUUUUCACAAACUUACCUCUUAUAACGGGUUUGGGGAUAUUUUCAAAAGUUAUGUUUUGAAAAUUUGGGUAUAAAUUUUAGUUUAGCCCAAAGUCGAUCAUAACUGGUUGAAAGAAGAAAUGGUAUUAAUCAAUUGACAAAGUGUUGAGAAUACAAAGUUGACACAUCAAUUCGCUGUAAAUUAAUAAUAAUCAGCUGAGUUGUAAUAAAAAAAGAACAAAACGGGUUUGUUAAACAAAUUAUGUUUUGAAGAUGUACGUGAUGAUCAAAUAGAUUUUGACAUGGAUGAAUGACAAGAUUUCAUAAUAUUAUAUGAUAUAUUAGGCAUUUUUGUAAGGCAACUUUAUCUUUAUGACACGUAUAUUUUUCAAUUUGUUUCUUCGGUUUAAUUAGGUCUAAAUGGUAUUGCUUGGAAAUUUCUUUGCUCUAAUAUGUUUACCCGAUUUAAUGAAUGUAGAAAUAUAGAAUGAUUGAAAAACUUAUAAGAUAUUAUAGAGACCUUACAUGCAUGUUAAUUAAUGACAUUUGUUACAUAUAGGUUGUUCCUUUUGUAUUAUGAAACAUAAUAUAGAUAUUUCAUAACACACUUUAAAAGAAUUAUUUACUUUAUAUUUAGAGUAAUAAUUUGCUCGACAAGAUAAUGGGGGAGCUCAGUUUCAUUCAUAUUCUUGUUGGUUGGUGUCUCUUUGUCACACUCAUAGUAAUAUAUNNNNNNNNNNNNNNNNNNNNNNNNNNNNNNNNNNNNNNNNNNNNNNNNNNNNNNNNNNNNNNNNNNNNNNNUAUAUAUAUAUAUAUAUAUAUAUACACACACACACACACACACAUACACACACAAACAUCAUGGUUUUAGAAUUAUCAACACUGAUAUUUUAAAAUGGUGGCAAGAUAGACAACAAAAUGAACUAUUUAGCCAUCAUGUUGUGGGAAAUACUAUGUGUUCAAGCUAGUAUUAUAGCUUCUGAAAGAUGGUUUUCUUUUAGUGACAAGUUAUCAAAUGCAAGGAUGAAGCUUUUGAUGUAGAAUUGAUGCAAGUGUCAUUAAGUCUUAAAGACUAUUACAGUUCGAAUAUGAGAUCACAAAACUAAUCAAUCUUGAAGAGGGCUUGUAUGCAAUCGAAGUAGAUAUCUUACAAGACGAACCAUUUAGCCAACAAAUUAAAAAAAUUAACCACAUCUUAUUUGAAGGCUUAUACAAAGCUUUCCCAAGACUCAACAAUUUUCAAAAGUUGUAGGUUUAGGGAAUGCUUUGUAAGUUGUCCAAAUAAUAUUAUGUGGUUGUUGCUAUCUCAGUUUCUUCUUGUAAGAUUUCUUUCUUCCGUUGCAUCCAAGCCUUCUUCAAGAUUUGAUUAGUUUUGUAAGAUUGAAGUGUAGUAGUAUUUAAGGCGUCAAAUGCAUUUGCAUCGAUUUUGCGUUCAAAGGGUUUCUCUUUGAAUUUUAUAACUUGCCAUUAAGAGAACUGAAGAUUUUCUAAAGCUAUAAUACUAGUUUGGAGAGUUAGUAUGUCAUGAGAAAGAUAGCUAAAAAUCAUGGUGAUGCUUAUCUUACUACCUUUUUAAAAUAUGGAUGCUUGAAGUUUGUUCUCCUAAUCAUUGUUUUUAUAUAAUUUGUUGUCAUAAAUGGAUAACUCAUCUACACUGGAUGAAGUUUUAAAUGUUUACUAGGUGUGGGACCCGUGUAUUACACGGGUUGAUUUAAAAAAAAAUUAAACAUUAAAUUAAAGUGUAAACAGAAAAUAUUUUUUAAUGUAUAACUUUAAAAUAAAAAAGGAAAAAUGUAUUUAUUGCAAUUUAAUAUCAUAUAUAUGAUAUUUAAUACUUUAUAUAUAUGAAUAUAUGACUUUAAUUUUAAAAAUUGAAACAAAUCAAAAAUUGACAAAUGGAAAAUAUUUAUUUCAAAAAUACCACAAAAUGACAAGUGUCAAAACUCAUAAGAGAUUGACAUGUGGCAAAAAAACCUUCAUUUAUUAAGAAGGAUUACCACUAUGUUGUUGAGCUUUAAAUUCCUCUAAAUAUAAAGGAAAUACCUUUUUUUAACACGUGUUAAUAAAUUCUCUAUUACAUUUUAUAACAUCAAAGGACAACCUAAUGUGUCACAAACUCACAAUAUCCUUUAAUCAACAAAUAUUUAGCAUAUCUCUUGAUGAUGGGGUUUACUCCUCCAACAAUUAUAAAAAGCGUCAUCAACCCUUGAAAUUAUUUCAUAAUUUUUUUCUCUUAUUAAAAGCAUUUUACUUUAUAAAAUCUUCUCAGUUGUAGCAUGUUGUAGUUUCAACUUUUUUUGGAGUUGGAUGACAUUGCUAUAACUACAUAUAUAUANUAAUAUAUGUAUGUAUAUAUAUAUAUAUAUAUAUAUAUAUAUAUAUAUAUAUAUAUAUGUCAAAGUAUUUUAAAUUGAUUAAGAACAAAAUAAAGCAAAAUUUUGACUAUCUUGAUAAAUAAAUAACCUUUGCUUUUGGUUCUUGGAAUUUUGUAUAUUUAUUUAUACAGGGUGCAUUCACAGGAGUUUGUACAGCUCAGCAUGUUCCAAGUUACAAGAAAAACAUUGACAAAUUCAAGGCAAAAGGCAUAGACUCAGUCAUAUGUGUAUCUGUUAAUGAUCCUUAUACCAUGAAUGGCUGGGCUGAAAAGCUUGAAGCCAAAGAAGCCGUAAGUUUUUCUUUAUUCUUUAUUCAAACAUAUUAUUUAUUUUCCUCAUAAAUUCUAUCUUUUUAACAGUUUCACAUUACACCUUUUUGCAGAUUGAAUUUUAUGGAGACUUUGAUGGUAAAUUCCACAAAAGCUUGGAUCUGGAAUUAGAUCUCAGUGCCGCUUUACUUGGACAUCGCUCCACUAGGUACAACUCGUACUGUCAGUGUGACUGUGACUGUGACUGAUUGAAUGUGGUAUAUUUUUGACAGAUGGUCGGCAUUUGUUGAAGAUGGGAAGAUUAAGGCUCUAAAUGUGGAGAAUGUUCCAUCUGAAUUCAAGGUUUCAGGGGGAGAAGUAAUCUUGGACCAAAUAUAGAGAGUUGAUUGUAUUGGAUAAUACACUUCUCUUAACUUUUGAAUAAAGCAAUGUACAAUAUAUACCAUCUUUCUUUUGAGCCAUAGGUGUAAAAUGAAUUGCAAAUUGCGAGAAAAUAGCAACGUAUUGUUUGUGAUAAUGAUUUUAUUUCAGAAAACGCCUUUAAACAAAAAGGCAAAAGCGAAAUGGGUUUCUUUGCAAGUCUUUUAAUACGUAGGCUUCAUGAGAUUUCGUGCGUAGUAAUUAAUGUAUAUUUUUCUAAUAGAACAGUUUUGGUGAUUGAAAAGAAGCCAAAACAAACUAGUGUUUGGCUUUCUUUUAUAAAGAUUAUGGAAUUAGAUGUAAUUUUGAAUUUAUUCCCACUCACACCUCUGAUGUGAUGUAGUUGUUGGCAAUUCUCGACACGACCCGCCACACGACCCGUGACACGACACGAAAUAAAUGAGUUUGGGUUGAGCUUUUCAACCCACUAACCCGUUUAUAUUUUUGAUAAAAAAAAUUAUUUUAUUUUUAAAUCUAUUUAUGUAUUAAGUAUUAAUAUUUAAUAAGAUUAUAUAAUAUACCAUUGAUUUAUAGACCAUUUGACUGUUUUGACAUUUUGACUUGUGGUGGAUGGUCUAAGGUUGUAAGUCGUAACCUGUAAAGCUAAGUCUGUAACCAUUUUGCCUAUUUGUCCUAAAUAAAAAUCUCAAAAGCAAAUGCGUAUGAGCAUAUCUCCCUCUUCCAGACUUCCAGUCCCCCGGUCUCCCACAGUCCCACUCUCCACUGUGUUACUCUGUGAUGGAAAUCAUGUAUCGAAAUCAAAUCGUGUAUUGAAAUCACAAACGAUGUUGAUGCGUGAAGGCUGAAGUGGUGAAGUUCACGAACCCGCCAACCUGUGAACCCGUAUAAAUAAAUGAGUUGGCGGGGUCAUAUAUGGGUUUAUGUUUUAAACCCGCCAACCCGUGACCUGUAUAUUUAAAUGGGUCGUGUUUGGGUUGACAUAUUUUGACCCGCCAACCCGUGACACGUAAACCCGAACACGACACGAUUGCCAGGCCUAAUGUCAUAUGUACAUAGAGGUGAUUAUAUUGGUGCAUAGCCUUGGGCUUGACUGGAUCUAUAAAUCGGGAAAGGCCAAGCCCGUUUCUAUAACUACACCUCCAUAAUUAGUUAGCUUGAUAUCAAACAUAUCCAUUUGGCAAUCAAUCGGUGCGUGCUUUUCAUAUAUACAAGCUAGACACAAAAUUAUAAAACACGACACCUAAUUAAUCCAUGUGACACGUGAGAAAAAACAAAAUUUUAAAACACAAACACAACAUGUAACAAACCUGUGUUACACGUGGCAUGACACAAAUAUACAUGUUUCUAAUACCAUUUUUUUAAGCAUAAGAAAACAUGCAAAUUGAUUCUCAAACUUUCAGUAAAUGUAAACUUGAACCCAUUAACUACACGACUAUGUGUGUAUAUACGUGUUUAUGCGUGUUGUGUGUUGCACAAAUUUAAUCCGUAUCUUAUACGUGUAAAUUCGUGUUUGACACGUGUAAGACAUGAAACACGAAUUCCAAAUAUGGACACAAGUUGAAAUGAAUUUUGAAAACUCAUAAAUGAAAAACUCAUGUCGUGUAUUGAAUUGUCGGGCUACAACAUGUAACAAACAUUAUAUUAAGUUUACUUGCAGCUAGAUAAAGCGUAGAGGCAAUCAUGCACGAAUAAGCAGUUAUAAGUAACUUCUAAUUUUGUAGUGGUCACCAUCUUAUUUCUACAAAUUUCUACAUUUAGCAAUUAGUACCACUGAUUCAUACCAAUGCUUAAACAAAAAUCGAAGUAAGCAAAGCAAAACACACAGGUGUAGUAGCAACGUAAGGCAACGACCUAAAAUAUGCUAAUACUUUUCACCCAAAAUCACCUACUAAACAUCGAUGGUGUAAUUCUAAGUAUAUUCUCUGGUAUCUAAUUCACUUAAACAUAUGAUUUAAGACCAACCUCUCACAGGUUCAUUUUAGAAAUAGUAUUUUCACCAUAUUUAAAAAAAAAUAAAAAAUAAAGCACCUCUUCACAACGGAAAAUCCCAUUUUUUUUAAAAUGGUAAUUCACCAAAUAUGUUUAAUAUAAAGUGCACGAGACAAUGAAGUUGCUACGUGUUCCUGUAUGUAAUUGGCAGCCUAUUGUGGAAAGGGUUCACAAAAAGCUCUCUUCUUGGAAGGCAAAUUCGUUGUCUUCAUGAGGUCGUUUAACCCUUUCUAGGGUUGUUCUUGGAAGUCUCCCACUCUAUUAUUUUUCUUUCUUAAGAGCGCCUAAAUCCGGCCCGGACAACUUGGAGCCGAUUAGAAGAAAAUUCUUUUGGGGAGGCUGUGAAGAAAAACACAAGAUAAACUGGGUGGCUUGGGAUAUUUUUCUAGGACCCAAAGAAAAAGGGGGCCUUGGAAUCGGUUCCUUCAUGUCGUUGAAUACAACCUUGCUUGUCAAAUGGUUAUGGAGGUUUAAAAAAGACUUGAGUUCUCUUUGGAUGAGAGCUGUUAACGGUAUUCAUAACAUAAAGAAGCAUGUGGGUGCUUGGGCGAAGAGAUCGUUGGCUGGGGUUUGGUCUCGUCAAUAUCAUUCCUCAUAUCAAUGAUUUGGGGGUUUACUUCUCCUCUACUUAUGACAUUUGCAUCGAGGAUGGUAAGGAUACGUUGUUUUGGAAGGACGAUUGGUUAGGGAGUGGUAAGUUGGCGGUUAAAUUCCCUUGUCUUUUUUAUCCGGACAAACGGAAGAGCUGCUUUGUAGCGGAAAGAGUAUANUGUGUGUGUGUGUGUGUGUGUGUGUGUGUGUGUAUAUAUAUAUAUAUAUAUAUAUAUAUAUAUAUAUAUAUAAGAAGGAUCAUUUGAGAACUCAAAGUUUCCCGAGAAUCCGAUAACUAAAGGUGGAACGUUGGAUUAAAAAAAGGAAGAGUCUGGGAUGCAAGGUGGCGUUUUUGUAAAUAAGUAGGCAAAAAAAGGAGGGGUAUUUUAAUUAAUUCAGUCAGGGGUAUUAUAAGAAUAAAAAUAUAAUUAAAUGAUUUAUUAAAUCUAAUAUUUGAUAAAAUACAUUUUCAUCUUUCUCUCUCUUUCUCUCUCUCUCUCUCUCUCCUCCCCGUUUUCCUCUCUCGCUCAAAGGUACGAUCCAUCCUCCGACGAAUCACCUUCGUCGAAUUGCCUCCAAUCUUUCUUCCAAUUCCAUGCUUUCGAUUCUGAAAUUGCUUCUACUCACACGAAUCUGAAAUCCCCCAAUGAUUGAAGUUUCAAUGUUGCUGAACUCCUUGAUCUCACGUUCUUCAUAGAAAAAACUCCACUGAAGAUGCCUUGAUUUUUAAUCGUUUAUCCUCCAUCAAUUUGUUCCUCGGAGUACAUCGUAAUCGUCGGCUUCAUCUCGGCCUCCACUGUGGAUUGAAGAACUGAACGAAGAAGAUGAUCCCUUGUCGAUCAAAAUUUAGGUAUCAUCUAUUUCUAUAGUUGACUCCUGACUUUUGUUUGACCUUUAUGAAUUGUUUUUGCCUAAUCAUUAAGUUGAACUUGUUUAGCCAAUAUGUUUUUAAGAAGAGUUAAAUCCUUGUGUUGAUUGUAGGUAUAAAAAUAGAUACCUGUGUUAUUGAAAAAUAUAGAUAUUUGUUUGCACUCAACAUGUUCGAUGAAUUGCCUCAAUGAGAAAUAUCACAUGUUAGCUUCACUUUGACUUCAUGAAUGAUGAACCAAUUCCAAUUUAGUAUUCUGAAGAAUUUUUUUUGGUUAUAUUUUGAGAAAUGUAGGAGAUAUUUUUAUUUGUGGAAGACUACAGCCUUUUGAGCAUAUAAUAUAAUGUCAGAAACUAGUCGUCUUUUACAAAUAAAUUUUCAUAAUACAUUUUAAAUGGAUUACUUCAGCCUUUUGAGCAUCUGGUAUGCUUGUAUUUUCUUGGUACCCAAGGCCUAACAUAUUGUAACGCCCGUAGGUCCGGGCUAGUCAAUUAGAGGCAAUAGGGGUCGAAAACGACUUUUCGAAAAAAGAUUAUUUAGAAUAAAUAAUCUUAACCAAGUUGUAGAAUAUGUCACAAGGUUUCCGUACAUAUAAAGAACGCCGAAAUCCGAGUUAUAACGAAGAAGUUAUGACUCGUCGAAGUUUCGCGACGGAACCGGCACGGCACCGGGAAGUGUAAAUAGUGAAUUUACGAUAGAACGAGACAUAGCCUUAGUAAUCUAAAAGAAAGUCGUAGAAUACGUUAAACUAAGAACAUUGAUAAAAAGAACGCCCAAAUUUGACUUCGUAUGAAGAAGUUAUGAUUUUUUGAAGUUUCGGACAAGCAGUGUACAACCCGAAAUUCGAAUAUUAGAUCGAGUAGUUUUUGGCCUACAUGACCUNUUGGCCGACACGACCUAAACGAGAAUCGAAGAUCUCGAUAAGAGUAGCAUAACGAGAAAAAGAUGGGCGAAAACGGACGUCGGAUGAAGAAGUUAUGAGGAUUUAACGGACCAAUCUUGUCCCGGCGUGUUAAUAAUAUCGAAAUUUAAAAUCGAGCCAAAAUUAGACGACGGAUUCUAAGCAAAAGUUGUAGAGUACGUUCCCGCCUUCGCGUGGAUAUAAAGAACAUCAAAAACGGAGUUCGUAUGCGAAAGUUACGAAUUUUUAAAGAUUAAACUUGAAUUUGCGAAGCUGUUGCUAGAUGAGAUGACGUGGCACGAUCUAGACCGUCCAUCGCUGAAGAAAGCCUCGCCUCGGAUGCAUGACACGCAACCCCUCGCAUACGCCCAACGUUAGCAUCAGACGCCCCGCGUACGAGGUUCGGAAUGCCCCGCGUUGAAGAACUCUUCCUCGGUCCAUAAGCAUCAACGUCUCACCAUCCGAAGCUUGCCACGCCUCAGUCUUAUCCGAAGCUACGCGCAGCGUAAUGUUGCUGUACGCCCAGCGUACCUCCGAAGGCUCGCGCCUAUAAAUAGGCUGCGAGGGUUGCCGAGCAAAACACACCAAUUUCUUUCUCUCACUAAAAUUCUUUCUCUCUUUAAGGGUUUUAACCCUCCCCUAAGCCUAGGUGGUCCCCUAGCACCCUAAGGAAGCCCCGAGGCUCCCGGAGUCCCGAGAAAAAGGAGUUUUUCGGUUUCGAAACGCUGCUCCAAUUAAGUUCUGGUUUUCAAUAAAAUUCGCUGUAAGUGUGCUACGCUUAUGCAAUUUUUAAUAUAUUUCAAAUAAUUAUAGGAAUGUUAUUAGGUCCUUAAAAUAAUUAUUUGGGCUAUUAUUAUGAGUUAUAUUGAGUGUUAUUAACACUUAAUAAUAGUCAGACUAAUUAAUUUGUCGCGGUUAUCGUUAGACUAAACCCUAGUGGUAUUGGUACUAGGUUUUAUCGAAGGAAAAUCGUUUUGAGAGUAUCGAAGCGCUGUCCGAGUGCUGAGUCAUCACCUUUCAGGUGAGUGCAUAGUCCAUUUCAUCUUACACAUAGAUAUGAAGUAUUUUAUAUAAACUACAUGCUAUGUGUGCAUAUUAUCUGAAUACUUGCUGUCUAUGCUGGAUGAACGUUUUAUACAUGUUUUAAAGGAUUUAAAUUGUAUACGUAUUUUAUAUAUACGAAUAUGUUGGGUAUGAGAUGGGUAGAUGAAUGAUGAGAGAUAGAAUAUGAUGUGAGUAUACAUUGGUAGCUAUAGACUUAGAGCCUAUGGGACGAACACCGGUAGCCAUGGACUUAGUACCUGUUAGACGUUGGUAGCUAUGGAUUUAGUACCUGUUAGGAAUUGGUAGCUAUGGACUUAGUACCUAUUAGUUAGAUGCUGGUAGCUAUGGAUUUAGUACCUGUUAGGAAUUGGUAGCUAUGGACUUAGUACCUAUUAAGCACUGGUAGCUAUGGAUUUAGUACCCGAUGAGUAGGAUAUAGCAGCUAUGGAUUUAGUGCUUUAACGAACGAACAUCGGCAGCUAUGGAUUUAGUGCCAGUCCUAUAACCCUGGAAGUAAGGGACUUCAGAAUAAACGAAUGCAGGAUAGAUGACUCUUAGGUUAAAUCCUUAAGAGUAAAGAAGAUAAUGGGGAUGGGUAAUUGGGUUAAUUGUUUGAUGAUUGAACAUAAUAAUUAUAUAUUGUGGGUUGAAAACCCUAUGUACUCACCAGGUUUCCCAACCUGAACCACUCAGUUUAUUUAUAUCACAGGUGUUGAUAUGAAGUCACAUUACACAAAGAGAUUUAAAGAGAUGUAGAUUACUAGUGUAAACAAAUGUAAGUUCUGUUUAUGCUUAUGUUUAUGUAUUAACGAUGACAUCCCAAACGUUUUAAGAUGAAUAAAAUACGUUUCUUCGAAAAUGUUUUAAUAACGUAUUUAUCGUGUUUUUCUGGGAACAAAUUCCGCAACAUUUUUAUUAAAAGAAAAACUCUGAUUUUUAUAAAGCAUAAACAAAAUCGGUCUUUUCUGGCCGUGAUUCUGGGGAUGUCACACAUAUGCUCUAAUGUUGUUAAUGAUCAAUUUUUUCUUAGCCAUUUUUACAGGUAAUUUAUGAAUUUGUAGUUAUUUACUCAUCUUUGUAAGAAUUAAGAAGCAAAUUGUUUAAUGUAUAUCAGUUUUGUUCUUUUUUUAAAUGAAAAAUUCGUUUUCUUGUUUCAUUUCCAACUUUCCUCUAUCAAACAUGCAUCGUUGGUUCUGUGGUGUUACCUGCAACCAGUUGCUAUGCUCUUAACGAUUCUAGCCACAUUCAUCAUUUUGUAUCUUCCUCAAGUAACUGCAAUUUGGAAUUAAAUUUUGUAUUACUUGGUGGCAAAAAAGUUUGUUUUCUCUAACAUAUUAUACAGAGUAGCUGGUUUGGACACCCUAUUGAGUAUGGUGGAGUGGUAAUUUCCUUUUGUACAUAAUGAUCUUGAUAUCAUUCUAAUUGUUCAAAUUUGGGAUAGUUCUUUUCACAGUUUUUGUUGUGUUUUAUGUUUCAUUUCCUAUAGCUUCAUUGAGAGUUUGUUUUUGGGAUAAUGGAGAAUUUAGAGAUGUAAAAUUUAUAUUAGUCAAGAAUGGGGGAAGUCUCCUGGAAAGUGGAUCAAGACUGUGUUUUUUGGGAAUAAGUAAUCAAAAUCUAAUCUCUCAAAAGUAAGAAAAAGGUUACUUUUUGUACAUCACUUGUCUGUUCUCUUAGUAUGUGAUCCUGAUGUCAUCUAAUUCUUGCAGGAUGCUACUUCAGAAAUAACAAUAUUCAUCACUGGUAAAACACCAUCAAACAAUUUUGGUGCUGAUUCAAUGAUCAUCUCAAGUCCUGUGCGCCCUGUAAUUGAUUCAAGUGAUCAUACAGAACUUGAAAAGACAUCAAGUGAUAACUUAAUAACCGAUUCACCUGAGAAUGAUAAUGCAAAUGAUUAUACAGAACUUGUAUAAUUGAUUGUUGCAAUUUAACCCUAGAGUAGAUGAUGAGUUUGAUAAAUGAUAAUGCAAAUAGGAGCACAACAACCAAGGUACAUGAAUAUUAUUAUUAUAAUCUUGAAAAGACAUCAAGUGAUUCACAUUUGAAUCACAAGGGAUUCACAUAUAAAUCACAAGUGAAUCACAUAUAAAUCACAAGUGAUUCACAUAUAAAAUCACAUGUAAUUCACGUGUAAAUCACAAGUGAAUCCCAUAUGAGUUACAUAUGAAUCACAAGUGAUUCAUAUAUGAAUUACAUGUGAUUCACAUGUAAAUAACAUGUAACUUACAUAUGAAUUACAUGUGUUUCACAUGUAAAUCACAUGUAAUUCACAUAUGAAUCAUAUGUAAAUCUUAUAUGAUAUAUACAUGUGUAAUUUUGUGAGUGUUCUUGCAUUAAUCAAAUUUUUUAAUUUUCUUGUAGAUUUUGAAGAAUUUGUGGAAAAUAUUGAAGAGGUGAAAAGUGAUAAAUUGAAGAAAAUAUGAAAAUCUUGAUAUGAAGAAAUGAUAACAUUGUGAAUCUUCGUAGCAUUUUUUAUUUUUUAUAUUUUAUUUUGUAUCGAAUACAAUACUUGUACUAUUACGUUUAUAGAUUGAUUAAUAAAAAUGAGAUUUUUAUGAUUUACUUACGAAUAUUAUAGUAUAAGAAAUAAGCAUAUAUUCAUUUGAAAAAAAUAUGUAUAUAUGCACCUAAAAUGUUGACUUUUUUUGUUUAAAAAAUUAGAGGUUUUUUUAAAUAUUCUAGUUUUUUUUUUUUUUUUUUUUUUUUUUUUUUUUUUUUUUUUUUUUUUUUUUUUUUUUUUUUUUUAAAUUUUUUUUUAUAAAUUUACUGAUUUUAAAAAUUUAUAUAUAUUUUUUAAAAAUGUAGCUGUUUUAAAAAAAAUUGCACUUUUUUUGAAAAAAAAUUGCAGUAUUUUAAAAAAGAAAGCAGUUUUUUUGAAAAUAUUACAAUUUUUUUUAAUAAUUACUAUUUUAUUAAAAAAUUUGUAGUUUUUUUUUAAAAAAAAAUUGCAGUUUUUUUUUUUUGAAAAANNNNNNNNNNNNNNNNNNNNNNNNNNNNNNNNNNNNNNNNNNNNNNNNNNNNNNNNNNNNNNNNNNNNNNNNNNNNNNNNNNNNNNNNNNNNNNNNNNNNNNNNNNNNNNNNNNNNNNNNNNNNNNNNNNNNNNNNNNNNNNNNNNNNNNNNNNNNNNNNNNNNNNNNNNNNNNNNNNNNNNNNNNNNNNNNNNNNNNNNNNNNNNNNNNNNNNNNNNNNNNNNNNNNNNNNNNNNNNNNNNNNNNNNNNNNNNNNNNNNNNNNNNNNNNNNNNNNNNNNNNNNNNNNNNNNNNNNNNNNNNNNNNNNNNNNNNNNNNNNNNNNNNNNNNNNNNNNNNNNNNNNNNNNNNNNNNNNNNNNNNNNNNNNNNNUAUAUAUAUAUAUAUAUAUAGACGCACACACAUAUGCAUUAUUUUAACACAUUUGAGCAUUAAUUUGGUAAAAUGCAAAGAUAUUUGGUACUUUUAAUGUUUAAAUUCUAUCUUGCAGCCAAAAAUGACAUUCUUAAGGAAAAAAUGACUGAAAUUGAAGAAAGCUGGAAACUUGGAGCUUGGAGCUUGGAGCUUACACUAGGAGAAGAAGAGAGAAGAAAAUCGUGCAUAUUGAAGUUCCCACGACGUGGACAAUUAGAUUCCACGACGUGGCAUUUGGAAUCUUAUCGAUCAUUGCAUGAAGAUGUUUCUCAUGACGUGACCAUAUAGCUGUCACGACAUGACCACAUGUCAAACCUUGAAUCUUCUACGGACAUAAAUGGAAGCCUUGGCGCAUACAUGAUUACCAUGAUUCCCACGACGUGACAUCUAUUUCCCAUGUCAUGGCGACUACUUUUUGGCAAGUAUAUAUUUUGAACUUUAGGUCGGAGACUUUUGGCAGAAAGCUGCAAUAGAAAAGUGACAAAAUACCUUCUAAGAACCCUUGGAAGUCAGAAGAAGAUUGGAGAUCAAGUUUUGGAGAUUUUUAGAGAAAGAACAUCAUUAGAUCAUUCAGAUUGCUAGUUUUUACUAUGUCUAAUCUAGUUAAAUCAGAUUUCAUGUUUGUUUCUACUUUAAUGAUGGGCUAAAACCCUAUACGUCUGUUUAGUGAUGAUGAACCCUAGUACUAUGUGUUAGUUUCCCUUUUCAUGGAUUAUUGAAGUUGGUUUAGCUUGUGUUUGAUAGAUCACUACAUAGUAUGUUAAAAAUUUCAAUCUUUAUUGCUUAGCUUUCAAUUUUUGUUUAGUUAGAUGAUCACUUUGAUUGCAUGAACUCGUUUACCUAAUUGUUUAUGAAUCUUAAAUUGCUAGAGCUAGUGAUUGACCAAAUCCUAGAUUAGGUAAUAAAGAUAGUUACUUUAACUGUGCUAGAGAGCAUAAUUAGAUCAUAAUUUGUGUUUUGGUUAUUUUUCUAAGUCUUAGAUAAUUAAUCUUAGGUUUAUAAUUCAUAGCCCAAUAAUCUUCAUAAUUGAUUUAGUCUUCCACUUAUGCAAGAUCAUUGCCUAGUAGUUCAUAAAUUGGUGAAAAGAUUAGGAGAUUGGACCAAGACUUCUAAUAACAUUUAAAUUGAUAACCAAAUGAAAUUAAUCCAUAUGUUGAAACAAACGAUAGGGAAAAGGUGAUUCAAAGCUAAACUGAAGUGUGUUUAUUAUCUUGAUUAAAAAUCGUCAUUAAUUGUUUGCUUAGUUUAAAUGUUUUUAGUAAUUAAUUUAAGUUAAUCUGAACUUAGAAACUCAGAUAAAACCCCUAAUUUUAGUUAUCAUUCUUACGUUAACUUUUAGUAUUUAUUAUAUUAAUUAAAAUAUUAUUCCCUAUAAUUGACACCCGACUUGAUUUACUAUACUAUAAUUCGACUAGUUACAUAAGUAUUUUAGCUAGUAAAGUUUGGUUUGGUUUAUAAAUUAAAAACUAGUAUAUAUAAAUCAUAUUAAUAACUCAUUCAAUCGUUUCCANAUAUAUCGUACGCAUCAAGUUUUUGGCGCAGUUGCCGAGGAACGACUUAUUUUAGUUUUAAUUUAAUUGAUAUUGGUCAAUGAAUCCUUUUUGUGGGGUAGAAACCGGAAAAGGUUAAUUUACUGCUUUGUUUUUAGUUUUCCGUUUAAUUAGAGUUCACGAUGUGACGACUCUACCUUCAAGACGUGAAAACUGAGCAUUUUCAAUUUUUUGUUUAUUUUGUUUUAGUUUGUUUUUAUGUGUUUUCUUUGCUUUGUUUCAGUAAUAUAUGACCAGGGGAACAACUUUUAAGCUUGUGCCACCAUUUGAAGAUCUGGAAGCCGAGUUUCACAAGAAAAAGGAUAAAAAUGAAGGCAAAUCUAGUAGCAGCUUCAAAUCAGACGAGGUAGCAACUUUUGAAAAAAUUCCCGACAAGAAAGACAUCGGAUACGAACCAGAAACCAAAAAUGAUUCAGAAGAGGAAUUCAAAAGCAAACGAGACAACAUGAUGGAGGACAUUAUGAGAAUGACCACAUAAUAGUACAAUAGGUGGAUGCCUAAUGACAAUGGGUCGGGUCUCAUACCAACAACAAUUCCUAGCCAUGACAAACUUAGAGCUCAAGGGACAUAUCCUCAUUAUGCUCAAAUAUAUCCCAUUAUAUGGGAAAGAUCACAAGGAUGCCAACAGACUCAUUGACGAAGUGUUGGUUAUUGGAAAAUAAUUUAAUGUUCCAAAUGUUUCAUGUGAUGUAAUGCUACUUAGGAUGCUUCUAGUCAUAUUCACAGGAUCAACAAAGGAUUGGUUAAAGUCACUUUCACCUGGAGCAAUCACUACAUGGACCAACCUUUGUAAUGAAUUCAUUUAAGAAUUCAGGCCUCCUAUGAAGAUAGUAAAGUUCAAGAAGAACAUCCUUAACUUUCAACAAUUGGAUGGUGCAUCCUUAUAUGAAGCUUAGGAAUGUUAUAAAGGAUUACUUUGCAAUUUUCCUCAACAUGAUCUUAACAUGCAACAAGAAAUCUCCACCUUCUCUGAUGGAAUCAAUGUGAGCACUCGCCAACUUCUUGACUCUCAAGGACCAAUGACUAAGAAGGACCCACCAAACAACAAGGCAUUAAUAGAAGAGUUUUCUGAACACUCAAGAGAGUAUCACAACCCUCGAGUUGAUGUGACAAGAGGAAAAGCAAAUGGUGAUGCAGCUUCGGAAGGCUUAGCGGCGGUGAUGAAAAACUUGAUAAUAUGCACAGGAGGAUCACGAGGAUGGGACAAUCCAUUCACGUGAUACAAGUUGGGUAUGAAAACUGUCACGAACCAUAUUUCACUAAGGAUUAUGAUUUGGAAGAGAACGAUAAUAGGAAGGCGCAAGUAUGUUAUUCAAGUGGUGAUCAUUAUGAUGCAGAUUGGAGGAGGCCUAAAAAGGAAUAUAAGACCCACAACGAGCAUUGAAAAGAAAAAAGAAUAGAAAUAUCGACAUCAAAGGUGAGGAUUUUACCAAAAGGAACAAGCACCACCCAAGAAAAAACUCGACCUCGAAUCGAUGUUAGCUAGGUUUUUAGAAGCUAGUGAGCAAAAUCAUAAUGCUACUGAUGUUAAAUUGAGAAAUCAACAAGCCUCCAUAUCGAAUAAAGAGACUCAAAUCGGACAAUUGUCAAAACUAGUCCAAGAACGUUUACUUCCUACCAAUUCUGAGCCAUAACCACAACCACAUGUUAUGGAAAUAUCUAUUGAUGACGAAAAUUCUUUUGAGCCUCUAGUGAUCCUCGAAGUAGCCAUUGAACCUCCCAAUCUAAAGACGAAAGAAGUGAAGGAUGGAAAAGAAAACUACUCUGCCAAUUAUUCAUGACGUGUAGAGCAUGGUGUCACAUCGUGGUAACAACAUGAAACUUCUAAACCUUCUCCGGUUAAGUCGUAUAAGCCACCACUUCCAUAUCUAUCUCGAGCCAAGCAUCACCCACUGGAACAAGAGCAUAGGAGAUUCAUGGAUCAAGUGAAGGGGCUUUCGAUUAGCAUGCCAUUUAUUGAGGCAAUUGCAAAAACACUGAAAUAUGCAAAAGUUCCUCAAAGAUAUUAUUAGCAACCAGGAGGAAUUGGAGAAGGUUUCAAAGGUUUUUAUCACCAAACAAUGUUCUACUGCUGUGAUAGAGGGACUUCCACUUAAUAUGCGAGAUCGGGGCAUCUAAAUUUACCUUUGCGAGUUCGGAAAUUUGACAAACAUGAAUACUUUGGCCGAUUUGGGGGCGAGUAUUAAUAUAAUGCCUUUUUCAUUUUACAGGAAACUCGAAUUACCAAUGUUAAAGACUAUAAGGAUGGCUAUUCACAUGGAUGGCCGGUCUGUUACCUACCCUCGAGGCAUUAUUGAAGAUCUUUUGGUGAAGGUCGGGAAGUUUGUAUUUCCAGUUGAUUUCAUUGUUGUUGAUAUGGAGGAGGAUAAAGACUUCAUGAUAAUUCUAGUAAGACCUUACCUAAGCGUAGAUCAUGCCUUAGUAGACAUCCACGACUCCAAGGUUACAUUAUGAGAUAGAUAUGACAUCCCCAAAAAUCACUGCCAGAAAACACCGAUUUUCAUUUAUGCUUUUAAAAUAAUUUCAAAGUAAAUCCUUUUGAUUUAAAAGAGUUGCGGAAUUUGUUUCCAAAACAAAAUAUGAUAAAAUAAAGUUUAUCAAAGCAUUUCAUCAAGAGAUGCGUUUUCAUUAAUUAACAAUAUUCGGGAUGUCAUGUUCCGAUACAAACCAAAAGCAUAAACAAUAUAAAAUAGACCUUACAACAGUUAUUUAUAACUACUGAUCUAUAAUCCAAAAUCUCUUGUCAAGUCCACCCAUUUAUACUCUUGUGCCAUUACCUGUAAUGCAAAGAAAACUGAGUAGGUCAGGCUUGGGAGCCUGGUGAGCAUGUAGGGUUUUCAACCCACAAUAAUACAUUUAUUAUAUUGAAUUAUCAAACAAUCAACCCAAAUACUCAUUCCCAUUAUCUCCUUUAUUUCUUAAGGAUUUACCCUAAGAAUCAACUAUCCUUUAUCCAUUUAUUCCUAAGGAUUGACCUAAGGAAUUGACACAAAGUCCACCACUGCCAAGGUCCACAAAUUACGAUUGGUAAACACUUAGUUCAACAUACUUAACAAACACCUAGUUCUAACACUCCUAGUGAACAAUUAAUUCAAAACAUCUGGUGAAUACUUAGUUCUAAAACACUUAGUGAACACACUCAGUUCAACAACACCAAGUGAACACAUCUAGUUCAAAAUACUUAAUGAACACAUUGAGUUCAAAAAUACCAAGUGAACACAUAGAGUUCGGAAAUAACUAAUGAACACAUUGAGUUCAAACACCAAGUGAACACGUAGAGUUCAAAAAUACCUAAUGAACACAUUGAGUUCAAACACCAAGUGAACACGUAGAGUUCAAAAAUACCUAAUGAACACAUUGAGUUCAAAAAUACUUAUUAUUUCGUCUCACAUCAACUAUUUCAUCUACCCAUGUUCUACCCAACAUAUUUGUAGAUGCAAACACAUAUACAAUUUAAAUCUUUUAAAACAUGUAUAAAACAUUAUUUCAACAUCUAUCUCAAGUAAAUAAACAUUGUAUAAACACCUAGCACGUACUUCAUAGCAAAUACUUCAUAUCUAUGCGGUAGAAGAAAGUGAAUAUACAUUCACACAUAUAACAACAAAAUAUACACAUAACACGUAUUUCGUAUAAAAUACUUCGUAUUUAUGCGUUAGAAGAAAGUAACCACACACUCACUUGAUCAGAAGAUGAUCGGACAACACUACGGCUUGUAAAAGUAGUAUUCUUCGGUAGAUCUGGAAGAUCUUCACAAAAAUCGAACUUCUCGCGGGCAGAGCUUCGGCUCGGGAAUCUUACUUCUCGGGAUCUUCAGGACCUCGGGACUUGCUUCGGGGCUCGGGAAUGAUACCGGGGCUUCGGGGUACUUCUGGCACGCAAAUCGAUGCAAAACGGGAGAGAGAAGAGAGAAAAAGAGCAAUUGAGUCGGCUGCCCUCGCAUCCUAUUUAUAGGAGGCUGGAGCCUCGGAGUACGCGGGGCGUACUGCGUUACACGGGGCGUACUGCGUUACACGGGGUGUACUGGUCCAAAAUCAUCAUUGCUUACGUAUCCGAAGAACUCGAGUGCGAGGUGCGUCAUGCUUCGCGGUACGCUGGGCGUACUUCGGAUCAGAUCGGUGACUCCUUCAGAUAUACAUCCGAAUUAAAGAUUAAAUUUAAAUACAAAUUAUUUAAUAAAAUUCGGAAAUUCAUAUCUUCUUCAUACGAACUCCGUUUUCGACGUUCUUUAUAUCCACGCGUAGGUGAGGCUACGCUCUAUAACUUUCGUUUAGACUUCGUCGGCUAAUUUUGACUUUAUUUUUUAUUAUUUAUUUUUAGUAGGCCCGGACAGGAAAACUUCGUUAUAAAUUCAUAACUUCUUCGUUUGAUGUCUGUUCUUGCCUAACUUUUCAUCGCUUCGAUACCAACAACGAGAUCUUCGAUUCUCGUUUAGAUUGUUUCGGCUCAGGCUGCAUACCGCUAAGUCGAAACUUCGAAAAAUCAUAACUUCCUCAUACGAAGUCAGAUUUGGGCGUUCUUUAUAUGUACGGAAUCCUUGUAACAUAUACUACAAAUUAGUUAAGAUUAUUCAUUCUAAAUAAUCUUUUAUCAAAAAGUCAUCUUUGACGCUUAUCGUCUCUAAAUUGACUAGCCCUGAUCUACGGGCGUUACAAUUAUCUCCCCCUUAGGAUGAUUACGUCCCUGAAUCAUCAACGAAAUAGGGCUUAUAUAAUAAUUCCACACGUAAUUUCUUCAUCCUAGGUAAUAACCGUAAGUUCUAUAUUUCCUCGAAAGAGUGUUUAACUCUAUGGCUUUCUUGACUAUAGACGAUGCCCAAAUCUUGCAUCUACUUUUCAUACUACGUUGUACUUUCAAUUGUAACCUUCAAGUUACAAAAUAAAUCCUUAUUUCGGACUCCUUCUUCUUCCUGGGAUAAAUACAUUCCUUUAUCUAUUAUAAUAGACCGAUGGGUCGUGUCCCGGUGACCUCUCAUCGUAGUCGGACUCAAUUGAUAUGACCACUAGGGUCGGAAUCACAACCAUCUUACUAGUCAUUACCGAAACAAUGGUAAUGACAUACUUGAAUACAAUGGAAUCAAUUUUUUUUCAUUUUUAUUUUUUCUUGGAUUAUCCACUUUCUCGUUCUCUGUUUUUAAUCAAGUGUGGGGUCACAAUAGUAUUGUGAUGAAAGUUUUAUCAACUUUGAAAGUGAAAAAUUUUGGAUUUUUGAAAUUAAACUGCACCCAUGAUGUAAACAUCUUUUUGCCUACGAUGUGGGAUUCGAAGAGAGUCCCGAUAUUUGAUACUCACUCUCACGAUGUGACAAACACAUGGUCACAAUGUAAUGAAAGAUCAAUAUUUUCCCUUAAAUUAAACAUCCGACUAUCACUUUCACUUUCAAAACUCACGACGUCCUCUUAACUCUUUGGUCCCUACAUUUUAUUUUUGGCAUUACCCACUUGUUUCUUUCCAUUUUCUUGAUUAUUUAUCUACAAGGUAUGUUUCCAUUACUAUAUUGCCCUUAAUUUUGUAAGGUUUUACUUGAUUUGAACUUUGGGUUUGAUUAGGGUUUAGAUUUUUCCAAAAUUUCGCAUUUUGACUGAGAAAUCAGGAUCACAUGUUCAAUAAAUAUGUUUAGAAUUGCAUUUAGACAAAACACUAUGCAUAUUGUGGGAUUAAUUUGGUCAAAAGGUUUCGAUUUAGUAGAAUUCCCUCUCGAUCUUUAUCACGACGUGAGGAGCCUCAUGCCAUGAUGUGAUGUUUGGGCAACAUAAACUGAUUUUGAUUUGUUUUGCUUAUCCUUAUCCUUGUUCUUGUUCUUGUGGUUUGUUGUUUAUUGUUUUUGUAGAACUAUGGGACCAAGAAGGGCUCAACAACAACCUCAAGAGGAUGUGUUAAACCUACACCGAUUGUAUCAAUUCCCACAAGAUGUUCCGUGAUAUGUUUUAAGAAGUUAUAACAAUCGUUUGGGGUGGCUUCACAAUGGGAUUUUGUUGUUGCUCUGGUAAUAGAUUAGGCAUGGUUAAGGGGCGUUGGGAUAAUGGAACAAGUGGAGCCAUAUUUGACUAAGCUCUAUGUCGGGAAUCGAUCUUCAUUCACGUGCAAUGCGUGGCAUAAUUUUUUCACUAUCCAAGAGCACGUCUACCAGGAGCUAUCCGUGGAGUACUUUUCCAUAGUUAUCUUUGAAGAACACACGAUUGACCUAAACUAUGGAAGGGCGCUAACAUUUCGACUAGGAGGUGAAUAUCAGGAGUGCAAUUUGGCAGAAUUCGCUUGGCACAAUGGUUUGUAUCACGCGAAUGAAGAUACGUCUCCAUAAUUUCCUUUAUUCUUACAAGAUAUUACAAGGGAGUUACAGGGGGGACACAAUAUUUCGUGUUCUGGAGAACUAUCGCGAACUAUAUGUAUGAAUCAAAGAAUGCUCAAGAAAGAUACAUUCGGUCCCCAAUUUACCGGUUCUUGCACCGCCUUAUUACAUUUAGCAUAAAUCAUAAACGACACAUUCACAAGCAUCAGAAUCCAGUUUCUAGCAAUUUAUCGAGAUAUUCAAGCUUUCCCACCACAAAUCAGAUUCGAUAUCGCCACUACUACCCAGGGGAGUCUAUUCCCUUUUAUCCUUUUUAUUGCUUUUAUGUACUUUAUUUCUUUUAUGUAUACAAUGAGGACAUUGUAUGAAAUAAAUGUGGGGUAGGGGGUCGAAAAUGGAUUUUCAAGCGUUAAAAUUAUUAUCAGAAAAAUGCUAUAAUUUAAUUUAAUUCUAUAGACUUGAAAAAAAUACUCUUAUUUUGAAAAUAUAGUACAUUUAAAAAAUUUGAUAUUAUUGCAUUUGGACUAGUUUGCUACGAUGAUUCGAUGCGAACUCUAAGAUUUAGUUGAACCAAUAUGUUAUUGUGUAUUUUUGGAUUUCCAGUCCUAGUGAAAUCAUGAGACAAAAACAUGAACUUGUGUAGUUUGAUGGACAUAAUAUGUUUAGCAUCGUGUACUUGAAAUGUAUCUAUGAAAGCUUAUGUAGUCAUUUCAAUUUAGACUAAUACCUUUAACCAAUAAGGGUUGAGGUUAAGUUCCUUUGCUUAAGAACAUGUUUUUAUUUUCAAGUUUUUAGUUUGAGUGAAAAAAGUGAGUUUUUAAAAAAAAUGUGAAAAAGAAAAUAAAGAAAAAAAUUGAAAAAAUAAAAAAAAGUUGUCAAAGUUUGUUGAGUGAAUAAGAGCUUAUAAAGUAUGAAGUUCAAGAAUCAUGAAGAAAAGUUCAAAGUUACAAAUAAUGAAGGACACAAGUUAAUAAAGCGAAGAAUAAGGCAAAUUGACAAGAGAUCAUUUACUGUAACUUCUCUUUAUAUGUUAUUUUUAUCAUAUUUAUGCUUGGGAACUUAACAGAAAUAACCUUGAGGUUGGAAAAGUUUUCUAAGGAUGUAUUCAUAGGGAUACAUAAAAUGAAUCUUUUUCAAAAUAAAUGGGGAACGUUUAUGAGGAUUGUAAGUAUUUAGGCUUAGGAAAUAUUUCAGAUAAUUUAGACACAAAUACCUGCAUUGGGGUGAUGCGUAAUUAGUGAGUUCAGUUUGGAUUGUUUUGUAUGAUGUUGGUAUUCGAUGUUCUAUGUGAUGUAUUAAAAUAAGUUUUGCUUGAGGGCAAGCAAAAUGCAAGUGUGGGGUAUUUUGAUAGUGUUUUGUAUAUAUAUAUAUAUAUAUAUAUAUAUAUNUAUAUAUAUAUAUAUAUGCAUUAUUUUAAUAUAUUUGAGGAUUAAUUUGGUAAAAUGCAAAAAUAUAUGGUACUUAUAAUGUUUAAAUUAUAUCUUGUAGCCAAAAAGGACAUUCUAAAGGAAAAAAGGAGUAAAAUUGAAGAAAUUUGGAAACUUGGAGCUUGGAGCUUACAUUAGGAGAAGAAGAUAGAAAAAAUUUGUGCAUAUUGAAGUUCAUAUGAUGUGGACAAUUAUAUUCCACAACAUGGCAUUUGGAAUCUUCUCGAUCAUUGCAUGAAGAUGUUUCUCACAAAGCGACCAUAUACCUGUCACGAUGUGACCAUGUGUCAAAAAUCUUAUGCAGACAUGCACAAAAGCCUUGGCGCGUAUGGGAGUACCAUGAUUACAAUGACGACGAUCAUUUUUUGGGAAGUAUAUAUUUCAAACUUUAGGUCGAAAUUAGAGACUUUUGGCAGAGAUCUGUGAUAGAAAAACGACAAAAUACCUUCUAAGAACCCUUGGAAUCAGAAGAAGAUUGGAGAUCAAUAUUUGUAGAUUUUUAGAGAAAGAACAUCCGUAGAUUAUUCGGUUUGCUAGUUUUUACUGUGUCUAAUCUAGUUAAAUCAGAUUUCAUGUUUAUUUCUGCUUUAAGCGUGGGCUAAAACCCUAUACUUUCGUUUAGCGAUGAUGAACCCUAGUACUAUGUAUUAGUUUUCAUUUUCAUGGAUUAUUUUAGUUAGUAUAGCUUGUGUUUGAUAGAUCAGUACCUAAUAUGUUAAAAGUUUCAAUCUUGGUUGCUCAGCUUUCAAUUUCUGUGUAGUUAGAUGAUCGCUUUGAUUGCGUGAAUUUGCUUACCUAGUUGUUUAUGAAUCUUAAAUUUCUAGAGCAAGUGAUUGACCAAAUCCUAGAUUAGGUAAUAAAGAUAGGUACUUUACCUGUGCUAGAGAGCAUAAUUAGAUCAUAAUUUAUGUUUUGGUUAUUUGUCUUAGUCUUAGAUAAUUAAUCUUAUAUUUAUCAUUCAUAGCCUAAUAAUCUUCAUUAUUGAUUUAGUGUCCCACUUGUGCAACACCAUUGCCUAGUAGUUUAGAAAUUGUUGUAAAACAUUAGGAUAUAGGACCAAGACUUCUAAUAACAUUUAAGUUGGUAACCAACUGAAAUUAAUCCAUGUGUUGAAACUAACCAUAGGAAAAAUGAUGAUUCAAAGCUAAACGGAUGUAUUUAUUUUAUUAAUUAAAAUACCUUUUCCUACGAUCGACGAUUUUUUUUACUAUACUAUAAUUCGACUAGGUACAUUGCCUAUUUGUCUUUUAUCUAGUCAAGUUUGGUUUUGUUUAUAAAUUAAAACUAGUAUACACACACACGCAUAUAUAUAUAUAUAUAUAUAUGUGUGUGUGUGUGUGUGUGUGGNUACACGUCACUAUCUAUUUGUCACACCCCCGAACCAGACGGCGGAAACGUCUGGGGGCUUGUCCUGACUUCAUCUUGAAAUAUCAUUACAGUGAAUGUAAUUGAAACAUAACAUCAUCAUCAUCAUCACACAUGUAAUAUAACAACAUUCAUUGUUUACAUCAAGUAUUGUAUUUGAAUAUUAUAUGCCAAAAUAGUAGGAGUAUGAUGAAACAAAAUAUAACACAAUAUCCAUUAGUUUGUUUCGUUCAUCCUGCUUCAACGGUUUCCUGAGAAUACAAGUUAUUUUGAAAAAAGAUGGUCAACAUAAAAAUGUUGGUGAGUUCAUAAGCAUGUUUAUGAAAAUGAUUUGUAUAACUUUGAAAACCACCAGAAAAUCCUAUAUUUUCUGCAAAUUGUUUAGUGUGUUUGUGUCAGAUCUUGUAUUAAUGCAUGUAUGUUAUUGUUUAUUUGACUAAAAGGGUAAAGAGAAUGUAGAGAGAAUGUACAGAGCAUGUAAAGAGAAUGUUCCCAGACAACCCGAUGUUGUCUGUAAAAGAGAAAGCUGCCAUACCAACCCCCGAGGUUGAGUACCAGUACGAGAAUGUUUCCAAGUAAUCUAAGAGAAAAAUGAAUGAUCUUUCGUAAACUUCAUAACAUUAAUUCCUCUAAGUGAGUCGUCAUAACCAUACUAAAUAAUGACAAUUUCGUCUGUCUUGGCGUUGUUGGACGCCAAUUUUGAUUUUGAUUAUAAGGUUUUCGUCACCCUAGACUGAGUUACUCUAACUGUAGCGAACAACUCAGGUGUGGGGUGUCAUCCCCGUAUAGAUCUAUACACAAAUGUCCGCUCUCCCUCCAAGAGACUCUGGUUACAACUACAUGCUACAAUCUCAUUCCAGGCCCAAUGAACCAUGUAAGUGAACCACUAAGGCAUCGCUAAACACGUAAAUCAUUUAAAGGCCCAAAUUGGAAUGAAAUUAUAUAACAUGGGCCCGAAAUAUAGAUGAAAGGACAACUAAGGCCCAUUUCACAUGUAAGGUACUUACAGGCCCAAAUAGCACACAAAUAGUAUCCAAGGUCCGUCGCAUAUGUUAAUGGGUCAAUGAGGCCCAAUAAACAUAUAAAUAGUAUACAGGACCUAUUACACAUAAAAAUAGACCACUAAGGCCCAAUAACCUAGAAAAUGAUCAAAUUAAUCUGUUUGUUAGUUUAUCGUUGGUUUUGGUUCAAGUAUUCACUAAAAUAGCAUAAAAGCGCACUUUUUGUAAAAAUGUCGUUCUUGGCCCAAUAAGCCAAAAAUUUACAAUUAAGGCCCAAUUUUUGUAAGAAUAACACUUAAGUCUUCAUUUGUCCAAAACUUGUGUUGAUGACUAGUUUGUGGUAAAAAUAACAUUGUAAACCCAUUUUUGUCAAAAAUAUCAUUCUUGGCUUGAUUUUUGUGAAAAUACACAUUUUCUGGUUUUGAGCCUUUCCGACCUAGUUGUUGGAAAAAUUUGUAGAAAAAUCAUCGUAAGUUGAAAUUUGGAUCCGUAAACUCUGGAAGUUUGGAAAUUUUGUGUACUUUGUUCAAAAUUUUUCUCAUAAAUUUUGAUGGCCUCAAACUAGUGUGAAAUUACUCACCUUCAUAGGUUGGUCCGAAAUUAUUUCAAAUAUGAUAGGCAGGGUUUGUAAAAUUCGCCAAAAAUUGUAUAAAAAUCGUAUGAAAAUGUGAGACUAGUCAUUUUAAAGGUAUAAAUCUUAACUUUAUCCAUGUAAAACAGUUUUGAAAAAUACUCCAUUAAGAGGGUCAAAACAGUUCGAGAGUGGGCUAAAACUUUCCUGUCAAAACCUGAUUUUUGAGUAUAAGUUAUAGAUCUUUGAGCACAACACUCAGUUUUGCUAUUUUAAGUGUAUAAUUCCCAGACCUACAAGUUUAUAUGUAAUAUAUGUGAUAAAACAUACUUUUCUCAUGGUUCUUAUGAAGAUCCAAGUGAUAAAAUUCAAGUUCUUGACAUAUUUUUAGAUUAAUGAAGUAAUCAACACAUAAUAACCAAAUAAUUCAUGGAAAACACAUAUAAUCAUGCUUAUACACAUAGAUCUACACAAAGAAACUUGUAUUCUCCCCCAAAAUCUUAUGAAAACCGAAAAACAAAGGGUAUGAACUCACCUUGCUUUGAAUUUUUCGGUUUUUGGUGAAGAAAUGAAGAGAUCUUGGCCCUUGAUGUGUUCUUGAGGAGGUUUUCGAACUUAAGAUAGAUCUAAGGGCAUGGAUCACGAAGUGUUGUUUUAAGGAGUGAAGUAUUAACACAAUAAUGAAGUUAAUCAUCAACUUAAAGAGUAGCUUACCAAACAUGAUGAUCUUGAAAGAUCUUCUUGAGCUAACUCACACCAAGCUCACGAAUUUGAGGGAAUGGAUAAAGGAGUUCUCAUGUGCUAGAGGGGAGAUAUGUUUGGAGAAGUUUGAAGUGAGAAUGAUGGUGGGGAAUUUGGCUUUGGCCGUAAAGUAGAUAUGAGGAGAUAGAGAGAGACCUAGUUGGUUAUAACUUGAUGGUUUAAGAUUCUUAAUUGUGGAAAUAUGUGAGAUAACCAACUUGGAAGACCUCUAGGAAAUAAUGAGGUGAGGAGAGGGGAUAAGAGUUAUGUUGGGCCACAAUUUGAAUAGGCUUGAAAAUACAAGGCCCAAUUAUGUAAGUUUUCGGCCCAUUAGGAUCUCAUUGGUGUUCACGACCUAAUAGAAGUCCAAUAAUGUAGUUUACGACCCAUUACGGCUAAUGAACUCUUUUAUGCCCUAAUAAGGACCAUUAGAGAUAAGAUGGAUUAUUUUAGGCCCACAUGGCCCAAAAUGCUAAAGUUUAUGAAUGUGUUCUAAUUAGAGCCCAAUUAGGGUUCCUAGGCCCAAGGUGAUCAAGUUGAAAGUUUAUUGGUCCAUUAGGCCCAAUAAGAAAGUCCUAGUUCAUAAUGAACUUGAACCGGGAUUUAUAAGGUUUUCAGCCCUUAGUUGGGCAUAUGAGAUGUAUUUGGAUAAGCAUAGAUUAUGAUAUUCGCUUAGAGUACCAGUUAUUAUACUAGUUGAAUGAUUAUAUGAGAGUAGAAUUUCCUAGCAAAAUGCUAGUUGUGACACUAUUGGUCCAGAUAAAUGGAAGUCCAAAUUUUUAGGUGAUGGUUGUUUUUAUUUCCAUAAUUUGUGUGCAGUGAUUGCUGAUCGAGUGGCCCCCGUUGUAUUUAACCGCACAGUUUGGGUUAAAAUCGUUCCCUUAAAGUCUCUGUUUUCGUGUGGCGUGUCUCUAUGGAUCGUAUCCCUACAACGAUGGAUUUAGCUCGUAGAGGCGUAACGGGUGCUUGUGAACUUGUUUUCUCCCUAAUAUGGUAAGUGAUGAAGUGGACCAUGUUCUUUUGGGAUGCCCAACUGUGCGUGAUGCUUUGCAAUGUUUGUUCAAAUGGUGUAGUAUCCACCCUCAUAUUUUCAAUUUUGUUGUAGAGCUUGUCGAAUUUGCUGGGUAUUGGGGUCAAUUCCCAAAAAUAAGAUUGUUCCUAAUUACCCUUUGUUAUGGCUUCAUCUGGUGUCCAUGGAAGGUGAGGAAUGAGAGGACGUUUGGUGACAUUUGAACAUAGCACUCUAAGCUGGCGGCUAAUGUUUUUUCUAUGGUGUUUUAUUGGGUUAAACAAAGGGAUAGUUUGGUAUUUGUAAAUGGGUGGAUUGGGUCUGUUCCCCUUUCAAUGUUUUGUAACAUUGUUUGUGUUGUUUGUUUGCUAUGCAUUCUCCUUAAGAUGUGACCUUAAUAAAAUUUUCCGCCUGUUCCAAAAAAAAAUUAAGUGCAUGAGAGAUGAACAAAUCAUACUAAAUAUUAUUAAAAAACAAGGCAUAUUUAUUUCCAAAGCCAUAAAGAUCUUUAUUCUCCAAUAAUCUAUAUAUCCUCAUUAUUUUUCAAAUCUCCUCAGUCAAUGCUCUCCAAAUUAUUUUGAAGCCCUUUCUCCUUGUUUUGCUUGAAAUCACCAUGUGUAAAAAUAUUGCAUUUUCCAUAAUAUAUUAAAAGCGAUUUAAAUAUAACAUUUAAAAAACAUAGUGUAUUGUGACAUCCCAUUUUUACAGUCAGAAAAUAUCGAUUUGUUUAUGCUUACUAAAUCGAACUAUUCUUUUAAAAAGAUUAAUUUUGCGGAAUUUUCCCCAAAAACAUGAGAAAAUUUAUUAUCAAAUCAUUUUCAAAGAAAUGUGUUUUAUUUAUAAAACUCGUGAUGUCAUCGUCAAUACGUAAAAAUAAGCAUAAAAAAAGAGUUACUACGUUUCAUUACACUAAACGGUUUACAUCUCAUUGAAUCUCUUAGCAGAUGCACACAUCUUUAUCCAUAUAUAAUUACUUGUGGUGCAAAGAAACUGAGUAGGUCAGGUUGGGAACCCUUGUGAGUACAUAGGGUUUUCAACCCACAAUAUUAUAAUCUUUAAUUAUAUAUUCUUCAGCAUUCAAAUAACCCUAUUACCCCACUCCAAUUAUUCUCACUUACUAAUCCUAAUAUGAUGAUUUUGAGGGAUCUUUCUUAAAGGGUUUUUAUCAACAUACAACUAAAAAUCCUAGAUGAUUACGCAUGGCAAUAUGAUAUUACUUUGUGUAAACAUGGAAACACGACAAUACAUUAGUACUUUGGAUAGUCAUGACAGACACGACAGUACAAUAAUACUUGGGUAAAGCACGACAAUACAAGAGUACUUGGGAUAAGCACAACAGUACAAAAGUACCUUGGAUAAGCACGAAAGUAUAAAAGCACUUGGGAUAGACACGUCAGACAUGACUUAUUAUUUCGCACGACUUUCACUAUCUUAUCAUAACCACUAUCUCACAAUGAAUAAUAUCUUUUCUGAAUUCCAUCAAGCAAACCAACGUGACCAUUCUGGACACCUCUCCUGUAGGUAGAUCAAUAAGUAUUAUGACUUGAAAUUACUGAUAAAUCUUAUUUAUGGGUUCAUAAUAACGACUUAUGACUAUAAAUAUAAGUUACAUUGAAAAUAGAAGAGUGUAGCUUAACCUACAGUGGUUUGAUCGAAAACCAGGAAAACACGUAGAAAGAAUUUCGACACCGAAAGCUUCUAUUUGUCGGACCCUUAUAGUUCUCGAGACCUUACAAAAAUGUUCUUAGAAGUUGGGAAAAACCAAAUUCAAGGUGGGGAAGGGUUAGAGAGAGUUUUAGAAUGAGUUGUGAGGAAAUGAGAAGAAAAUUUGGAAGCUAUAUAUAGAGAUUUGGAAGGUGUACUGCACACAAACAAGAGGCGCGUGGCACCUUCGUGUCCUGCUGGCUCCUCUUAGCUUGUGCCACAUGUCGCAUGCUGAUCCGUCCACAUCUUCUUCUAGAAGCCGCCACGUUUCACCAUUUCAUGGUGCCACAUGUCGCUAUUUCCAUAGAUAAUGUCGCCUUGUCUUUAAAGAGAGGGGCGUCCGACACUGCCAUGUGUCACCCCUGGAGAGUGCCACAUUAUCGGUGUGUGCAGUGCACUUCGUGCGUGUAAAUGUUUAAAUUUUCGAAAUGGUUUAACUUCUUCAUAUGAGCUCCUUUUUCUACAUUCUCUAUAUCCCUGAAAAUCUCUCGACGAUAUAUAAAUUUCAUUUAGACACUGUCAACUAAUUUUGACUUUAUUUUUAAAGCUAUAUUUUAAACAGGCUUAAACUACUAAAGUCUGUUUAAAAUUCAUAAGUCUCUCAUAUGAUAUCCGUUAUUGACUGUCUUUUUAUUGACGGAACCAUAUCGACGAGAUCUUCAACUUUCUUUUAGAUCGUUUUUCCUAACAAUGAACCUAUCUUUACUUUGGUUUCUGAACCGAAUACGACUUCACUAAACUUAAAAAAAAUUUCAUUACUUCCUCGACUAGAUCACCAAUGCUAAAAAGUAAUCUAUCGAAGAUUUACUUUUUAUGAUACACAGAGUCGUGUUGGUUAAAUCACAAAACUUAGGAGACCCAUAACUUCUUGAUAUGAAGUUGGAUUUCAACGUUCUUUAUAUAUAUGGAAUCCUUGUCACACAUACUAUAACUGCGUUAAUAUUAUUCAUCCUAAAUAAUAUCUUAUUAAAAAGUCAUUAUUAUGGAUUAUGAUAACUUAUUUGUCUAGCCCAAAUUUAUAGGCAUUACAAUUACCCCCCCUUAGGAUGAUUACGUCCCUAAAUCAUCAACAAAACAGGACUUGUAUAAUGACUCUGCAUGUUUCCUUUUCAUCCUAGGUGCUAAGUGAACUCCUAAAACCUUUGAGUUUCCAAUUCUUAGACUUUUUGGACCGUUGACAGUGGUGCACCUACUCUUUCUUCUAAAUUGGAUGCUCCUGCUCCUUCUAGGAUAGACUUAACCUAAAUUAAGAUCCUUACUUCGAUUACCAUAUCUGACUGAUGGGUCACGUUCUAACGAACACUCAUCGUAUGAUGAAAUGGUUAUACUCGGGUCUCUUUGAGUCAGAAUUUUAACACGGAGGGUACCUUCCUCCAUGUACUAAUAUGAUAUAAUCACAUUCUAGUAUGUAGCACUUCUAGCUACAAGCUUCUUAAUUUUAGCGGCGAUCGUAAUACUUCUAUUGAUUGCUUAAAUUAUAUUUUCCUUCGAUUUGCUAUGUCGAUCUUACUUUGUAGAUUAGUCAGACUCGAUUUGAUAUGACCACUAAGGUCGAAAUAUCUAUAUUCACUACAGAAACAAAGGUAAUGAUUGAAAUGAGCAAAAUGGUUCAAAUACUAGAGUCUUACUAACCUUGUGACUUUCCCUAAUCCAAGUGUGAGUUCCGUGCUUCUGAUAGUAUACGCCUCUACUACUUUUCACACUUACUCAUAAGAAUUGUCUCGUAAUUCACUAAGUCACUAUGCAAGAAGAUCAAAAAACAACAUAACACAUUGAUUCAUAUAACAUAAUUAAGGAUUAUAUUAUUUACUGAAAAUGAUUACAAGAUUUUUUUAUACUAUAUUUCUAUUACAUCAGGCCACAUACCCUAAUAACAAUCAUUUAUCCCCUUCUCUCAAGUACUCGAGACAAGCAGAUCCAAAUUUUCACCCUUUUGUUUCAUCAUCAUGCCCCAUAUAAUAUGCCUUAUCUUUUGGAUUUGGUGAAAUAUUUGGCCUAGCUGCUUCUUUCUUCUUUAGGUAGUCGUUCAUGACACGCCCUUCCUCCUUACAUUCAAAACACACCCUUCUGUUAUACCGAAAAUUGUCAUAAUAAUGACCAGGUCUUCCACACCUGUAGUAGGUAACUUCUUUUUUGCAUUGCCCAACAUGCUUCUUCUUGCAUUUGUUGCACCACUCUACUUCAUUAUUACCCCAUACUUCUAGUCAUUGGGUUCACACCUUGAGAUUUUACUUUUCUUAUCGUACUUUGAGUGUCCUUCACCUCUCCUUUUCUCUCCAAGCUUAGUCUUGUCGGCGGUUUGCUGCUUGAUCAUAUCUUCCACAGAUUUUGUUGCCUAGAUGGCCGCUUCAAAGGUAAGUGCAUGCUUAACUGGCACAUAGUACUCCCAUGGUAGCCCCUUGGCGUACCUAUCAAUCUUGGGUAGUUCAUCUGAGACAAUGUGUAGGGUGAAAUCCAUCUUAUCGAUGAAGUUAUGGGUAUACUCUUACAUUGUCAAACUCUCAUUCUUUAAGUUCAAGAAUUGUUCUCAAACUCCAGUAUGUUCUCAGUAGAACAAUACUUACAUUUGAAAUGCACCCGAAACUCUGUCCAUGUCAGUUGCAAUGGCUCGUUUGGGAUAAAUAUAUUUCCCAAUGUGUUUUACCAGCGAACAACUAAGCCAUUAAAUUGUCUCACCGCAUAGGUGGUUUGCAACUUUCCUGAAAAACCGCCUAUAAUGAAAGUCUGUUCCAUCUCUGAAAUCCAGUCCAUAAAUCCUACCGGGUCUUCUUUUCCAGUAAAGGAUGAGGGUUUGCAAUUUAUAAAGUCCUUAUACUUGCAUCUACUCCUAUCAUCCCCUUGAUUCUGGCCGUUCCUCCUAAUUACUUGUGGUUCAACUUAACUCAUGGUUCUGCUAUAGUUUCCAUCCUCCAACUGUCUGUCUUUUAGUUCGGGCUAUACAACAGGCACAAAGGGUUCUCUUCCAUUCUCUCGGAUGACCUAUCUCAUUUCCACCCUCUACUCAUCUAAUAUGGCUCUAAUCAUUGUUAUUGUAAUAGGUUCAAUUACCGACAUUGCUUCAAGUGCAUGCUUGAUUAAAUGGGGCUUAAGCUUAUUGUUUUGGUUAUCGAUCCCUAAUCCACUACGUUUCCUCAUCAUGAUGUUCUGUAUACCAAAGUUGGUUGGGAUGAGAAAUUUAAUAUAAAUAAGGCUUAAACGCGUAAUUCUCCUCAGCCCUAAGAAAAGUUAUAUGCCAGUUCUUAUACCGUAAUUAAAUGUUUAGAAACCUGAACACAUAAAAUUUCUUAAUUCUAGUUCAGGAACAGACCUUACAUCUAAACAUAAAACGAGCUAGUACUUGUGUCAAUUCAGGUGUACCACCUAAAAUAUAGUAGACAGACAUCUCACGAUCAUUGCUUAACAUACUAAGUUUAAGUCUAGAAAUUUUCUAAAAUUCCUUGUUAGAUUAAACCAAUGCUCUGAUACCAACUAUGACGUCCCCAUUUUUAUAGCCAUAAAAGAUCUAUUUGUUUAUCCUUAUCAAAUUGUAGUAUUCUUUUAAAAAGAUUAAUUAUGUGAAAUUUGUCCCAAAAACAUGAGACAAUUUAUUAUCAAAUCAUUUUCGAAGAAAUGUGUUUUAUUUAGAAAACCCAUUAUGUCAUCGUCAAUACAGAAACAUAAGCAUCAACGAAGACUUACUACAUUUCAUUACAUUAAUGGUCUACAUCUCCUUGAAUCUCUCAACAAAUACGUACAUCAUUAUCGAUAUAUAAUUACAUGUGGUGCAAAGAAACUGAGUGGGUCAGCUUGGGAAACCGGGUGAGUACAUAAAGUUUUAAACCCAUAAUAUUAAAAUCUUUAAUUAUAUAUUCUUUAGCAUUCAAAUAACCCUAUUACCCUACUCUAUUUAUUCUCACUUACUAAUCCUAAUAUGAUGAUUUUGAGGGAUCUUUCUUAAAUAGUUUUUAUCAAGAGACAUCUAAAAUUCCCAGAUGAUUGUGCACGACAGUAUGAUAUUACUUUGGGUAAACACGACAACACGAUAGUACAUUAGUACUUUUGAUAGUCACGACAGUACAAUAGUACAGGGUUUAAGCAUGGAAGUACAAGAGUACUUAGGAUAAGAACCACAUUACAAAAGUACCUUGGAUAAGCACGAUGGUAAAAAAACACUUGGGAUAUACACGGUUGACACGACUUAUUAUUUCGCACGACUUUCACUAUCUAUCAUAACCACCAUCUCACACAGCCCUAUCGUAGUCUCUCAUUUUUUAUUUCGUACAACCCUUCACUACUGAAUCAUAUUAUUAAAUAUGAAAAAGUAUAGAAAAUUUAACCAAGUAAUAACUAUAUCAUGUUACUUGCACAUAUUAAACACAUCAAAAAAACAUACAUUGUAUUUAAGCAAUUACAAUACUUGUAUCAAGGUGUAAUUUUUAUAGUAACUAUGCACUCACCUGACUUAGGUAGGUGACUGGUGAUCUUGGAAAAGUUUUUCCUCACAACUUAGAUAUUCUCUUGACGUGGCCUAAGUAUGAUUAAUACAUAGUUUUAUUCUAACGAUCCUAAUGACUAUUAAUAGUCUAGAUCCUCACUAAUGCCAAUGUCUACAUCAAUAUCUAUCAAGUAAGCAUCAGCCAGGCAGGACAGUUGGGAGGCAUGAUCAUUUAGGCAUAAUAGUUUUUCUGAAAUCAAACAAGCAAGCCAACAUGACCAUUCUAGAUACCUCUCCUAUAUGUAGAUCAAUCAGUAUAAUGACUUGGAGUUACUGAUAUCCCUUAUUCAUAGGUUCAUAAUAACAACUUAUGACUAUAAAUAUAAGUUACACUAAACACAGAAGAGUGCAGCUUAACUUAUAGAGGUUUAGCAAAAACCAGGAAAACACGUGGAUAAAAUUCCGAAAUAGAAACCCUCAAUUUUUUGGAUCCCUAGAGUUCCCGAGACUCUACAAAAAUGUCCUUAGAAGUUGGGAAAAACCGAAUUCAAGGUGGGGAAAGCUUUAAGAGUUUUUUAGAAUGAGUUGUGAGGAAAUGAGAAGGAAAUUUGGAAGCUAAAUAUAGAGAUUUCGGAGGCCCGCCACACACUUUUGUCCUGGUGGCUCCUCGCAGCUUGUGCCACAUGUCGCAUGUUGAUCCGUCCACACCUCCUUCUUCUAGAAGCCACCAUGUUUCACCAUUUCAUGGUGCCACAUGUUGCCAUUUCCAUAGACACAAUCUCCUUGUCAUGAAAUAGAGGGGUGUCCAAUGCUACCACGUGUCGCCCCCUGAGAGAGCCACGUCAUCGGUGCGUGCGGUGUAAUUUACGCGCUUGAAUUUCUAGAUUGUCAAAAUGGUGUAACUUCUUCAUACAAGAUCCAUUUUUGACGUUCUUUGUAUCCCCAUAAAUCUCUCGACGACAUCUACAACUUUCAUUUAGACUCCAUCGACUAAUUUUGACUUUAUUUUUAAAAUUAUAUUUUAAACAAGCUUAGACUGCUAAAGUUUGUUUAAAAUUCAUAACUCUCUCAUACUAAAUCCAUUCACAAAUAGUUUUUUGUUGACAGAAUCAUAUGGACGAGAUCUAAAAAUCUUGUUUAGAUUGUUUUUCUAACAAUCAACCGAUAUCUUAUUCUAUUUCUGAGCCGAAUACUGCUACACUGAAAAUUUUGAAAAAUCAUAACUUCGUGUUACGAAGUCAGAUUUGGAUGUUCUCUCAUACAAGGUGUCGGUUAACGAAUACUACGACUUUCAUUUAGAUCACUAUGGAUAAAAAUUAAUCAAUAGAAGAGUUACUUUUUACGAUACAUAGAGUCGUGCCGGUUAAAUCACGGAACUUCAGAGAAGCAUAACUUCUUGAUAUGAAGUCGCAUUUCAAUGAUCUUUAUACCUAUUGAAUCCUUGUCACACAUACUAUAGCUUGGUUAAAAUUAUUCAUCCUAAAUGAUCACCUAUUUAAAAAUCAUUAUUAUGGAUUAUAAUAAAUUAUUUUUCUAGUCCGAAUUUGUGGUUGUUACAAUUAUCUUCCCUUAGGAUGCUUAUACCUUGGAAUCAUCAACAAAACAAGGUUGUAUAAUGACUCUGCACGUUUCCUUUACAUUGUAGGUGGUGACUUUAACUCUUAAGUCCUUCGUGUUUCCAUCUUAGACUUUUUGGAUCGUUGAUAGUGCUGCACCAACUCUUUCUUCUAAAUUGGAUCCUCCUGCUCCUUCUAGUGUAGACUUAACCUAAAUUAAGAUCGUUACUAUGAUUACCAUAUCAGACCGAUGAUUCAUGUUCUAAUGACCUCUCAUCGUAUGAUGCAAUGGUUAGACUCAAGUCUCUUUGAGUUAGACUUUUAAUACGGAGGGUACUUUCCUACAUGUUCUAAUGUGAUAUAAUCACAUUCUAGCAUAUAACACUUCUAGCUACAAGCUGCUUAAUUUUAGCGGCGAUCGCGAUACUUCUAUUGAUCACUUAAUACGUCGAACGUACUUUGUAGAUUAGUCAAACUCAAUUCGAUAUGACCACUAAGGUCCGAGUAUCUAUAUUUACUACCGAAGCAGAGGUAAUGAUGGAAAUGAGCAAAAUGGUUCAACUACUAGAGUCUUAGUGACCGUGUGACUUGACCUGAUCCAAGUGCGAGUUCUGUGCUUCUGGUAGUAUAGGUCUCUACUACUUUUCACACCUGCUCAUACUCAUCCCAAUAAUUUUCUUUAAGUUCACUAAGUGACAAUGCAAGAAGAUCUAAAGAAACUUAACACAUUGAGUCAUAUAGCAUAAUUAGGGAUUAUAUUAUUCCCUUAAAAUGAUAACAAGAUUUUUUAUACUAUAUUCAUAUGACAUCAGGCCACACACCCUUAUACUAAACAUUUUCCCCCUCCUCUCAAGUACUCUAGACAAGCAACUCUAAAUUGUCUCCCACUUGUUUCCUCAUCAUGCCCCAUAAAAUAUGCCGUUGCUUUUGGAUUUGGCGGAAUAUUUGGCCUGGCAUCUUCUUUUCUCUUUGGGAAGUCCUUCAUGACAUGCCCUUCCUCCUUACAUUCAAAACACACCCUUCCGUCAUACUGACACUCAUCGGAAUACUGACCAGGUCUUCCACAACUAUAGUAGGUCACUUCUCUUUUGCAUUGCCCAACAUGAUUCUUCUUGCAUUUGUUGCACCAUUUUGCUUCAUUACAACCCCUAUACUUCUUAUCGUUAGGUUUUGACCUUUAGGUUUUCUUUUCUUAUCAGACUUUGAGUUUCCUUCGCCUCUCCUUUUCUCUCCAACCUCCGUCUUGUCGAUGGUUCGCUGCUUGAUUAUAUCUUCCAUAGAUUUUGCUGCCCAUACGGCUGCUUCAAAGGUAGGUUCCUGCUUAACUGGCAUAGUGUACUCCCAUGGUUGCCCCUUGGCGUACAUAUCAGUCUUGGCUAGUUCGUUGGGGACAAUGAACAGUGUAAACUCCAUAUUAUCGGUGGAGGCAUGGGUGUACUCUUCCAUAGUCAAACUCCCUUUCUUCAGAUUCAAGAAUUGGUUCUCUAGCUCCAGUAUGUUAUGAGCAAAACAAUACUUUCAUUUGAAAUGUACUAGGACCUCUGUCCAUGACAGUUGCAAUAUAUCAUUUGCAAUCAGUAUCUUUCCCAAUGUGUUUCACCAGCGAACAAAUAGCCCUUAAAUUGUCUCACUGUGUAGGUGGUUUGCAACUUUCCUGAGCAACUGCAUGUAAUGAAAUUCUGUUCCAUCUUUGAAAUCCAGUCCAUAACACCUACAAGGUAUUCUUUUCUGGAAAAGGAUGAGGGUUUACAAUUUAAAUAGUCCUUAUAUUUUCAUUUACUCCUAUUAGCCCCUUCACUCGAGACGUUCCUCCUAAUUACUUAUGGUUCAGCUUGACCCACGGUUCUGCUAUAGUUUCCUUCCUUUGACUGACCUUCAUUCAGUUUGGGCUACACAACAGGUACAAAGGGUUCUCUUAUGUUCUCUCGAAUGAACUAUCUCAUUUCCUCCAUUUGCUCAGCUAACAGGGCUCUAAUCAUUACCGUUAUAACUUUUUCAACUACCGUUAUUGCUUCAGGUGCACGCUUGAUCACAUGGGGCUUUGAAGGUUUUAGUUAUCGACCCCUAAUCCACUUUGUGUUCUCACCAUGAUGUUCUAUGUUCCAAAGUAGUCGUUCGAGAUGAGAAAUUUGAGAUAGAGAAGGAUUAGACGCGUAAUUCUGCUUAUCACUCCGAAAAGUUAUAUGCCAGUUCUAAUAAUGUAAUUAAACAUUAAGAAACUUGAACACAUAAAAUUUCCUAAUUCUAGGUCGGGAACAGACCUUACAUCUAAUCAUAAAAUAGUAUUUUAAAUAGGGAACCUAAGGCAUGCUAUAAUUUAAACCAUUUAGCACAUAAAAGCAAAUUAGGCAUCUUAUCCUAAAAUGAGCAAGUGCUUCUGUAAAUUUAGGUGUAUCACCUAAAAUAUAAUAGACACACAUAUCAUGAUAAAUUUUCUAAAAUUCCUUGUUCGCUUAAACUAAUGACGUCCCCGUUUUUACGGCCAUAAAAGACCGAUUUGUUUAUGCUUAUUAAAUCAGAGUAUUCUUUUAAAAAGAUUAAUUAUGCGGAAUAUGUCUCAAAAACAUGAGACAAUUUACUAUCAAAGCAUUUUCGAAGAUAUGUGUUUUAUUUAUAAAAUACGAUAUGUCAUCGUCAAUAUAGAAACAUAAGCAUAAAUGAAGACUUACUACAUUUCAUUACACUAACAGUCUACAUCUCCUUGAAUCUAUCAGUAGAUACAUACAUCAUUAUCCAUAUAUAAUUACCUGUAGUGCAAAGAAACUGGAUGGGUCAGGUUGGGAAACCUGGUGAGUACAUAGGGUUUUAAACCCAUAAUAUUAUAAUCUUUAAUUAUAUAUUCUUUAGCAUUAAAUAACCCUAUUACCCCCGUUCCAAUUACUCUCAGUUACUAAUCCUAAUAUGAUGAUUUUGUGGGAUCUUACUUAAAGGGUUUUUUUUAUCAACAAACAACUAAAUUCCUAGAUGAUUAGGCACGGAAGUAUGAUAUUACUUUAGGUAAACACGACAACACGACAUUGCAUUAGUACUUUGGAUAGUCACGUCAGGCACGACAGUGUUGGGUUUUUAUUCAAAAACUAGUUUAAAAAUAUAAUAUUUGACAAUGGAAGACUUGAUCAUUUUUUAAUAACAUAAUCACGUUAAACCCACCAAAGAUCAUCUUGCAAAUUUUGGAAAGAAAACAAACACAACCAAAGAAGAAGAAAAAAUAACAACCUUUGUAGUUCUUUAGAUACUCUUGGGAGGCUUGGAAGUUGAUGAAAAAUAAUGAACUUAAGAGACACCAACAAGAAGCCGACUUGAUGUAGAUGCUGGUCUAAAACUCUUUACUCUUGUGUCAGUGUGUGUGAAGUUCAUAACCGAAGUUUGACCUUCAAGAGAGUAUAAAAGCAAGUAAUAUCUUCAAGAGAUAACAUAAAACAUGAGAGCAUGCAUAGAGAGGGGAGAAUUCAAUUUUUUUGUGCAAGAAUAAGAGUAAGAGAUGAAAGCCUUUCUAAUAAAGCCAAAUCUUUACCCAAAGGUGUUUAUUCUUUUAGUACAUCAUACCCCUACACCUAAGUGUUUCCCAUGUUUCUUAAGAGAUGUAAUUCUUUUAAUUUAAAUAAUCAAAAUCCCACAACAUGCUUCGUAGAAGCAUGAUACGAUUUAUAUAUAUAAAAAGAAGUCAAAGUUUGUAAUUUUUAUAAACUCUUUUAUAAAAUAUAAAUAUUAACCCUUUGGUAAAGGACAAAAAGUCCUUAAGGUCCACAAUGUUGUACAUGACUUAAUAAUUCAUACCAUAUGAAUUAUGUUAUGUUACUUACUAAUGAAAAUUAUUAUUUUAAAUAAAUAAAUAAACUCUAAUUUAAUUAUAAGAGUUUAUUGAAUAUUUAUUAAAAUCAGUUUCUAAUAAAUAAUCAAUUUGUAUCAAGUUGUUGUUAGUGUGACCCAUUAGUAUCAUAUGUUAAUGAGCAAUAUCACUUUAAUAUGAAUCUUGAGAAUAUAAUAUCUUUUCAAUCUCCCAGUUGCAAAGGAUUCAUAUUACCUUCAUCUAGACAUACGAGUUUGUGCCAUUCUAUCAAAGCCUAAUUCCCUAAAUGCUCCAAGCUAUAACUGGUAUAUAAGGUAUGUUAUAGCAACAUUUCACUACCCCCUCAACAUACGAGUUUGUGCCAUUCUAUCAAAGCCUAAUUCCCCAAAUGCUCCAAGCUAUAACUGGUAUAUAAGGUAUGUUUAUCAGUUAUCCCUUUCUCACAGACAUCAUGCUGAACGUGAGAUAUAUAUCACAAUCAAUCUCAUAUAGUGUUCAACUUUUUGUAAGGUAACUUAUAUGUCUAACUCUCAACACAUAAGAGGAACAAAUCCCACCUGUACUAUAUAUUCCUCUUGCAUAGUUCAUAGCAUACGUGAAAGUUGCUUUUUUGAGUGCCCGGUUAAGGACCAACGUUUUACCAUAUCAAAGCAAAACACUCCCUAGACUUAAGUCACACUAUGUAUCUUAGGUGUUAAGGAUACAAAGAUAGUACCUUUUAAUCAAUUAUCAUUCAUGAUAGCAUUUUACUAUUCCUAGUCCGAUGUUAGAAACAUCUUUAGCAUCACAGUGAUGCCUUUACUAGGUAUGAUGUUUAGGCUUAUUGCUCUAAGAAAAUAGUUUUGGACUAGGACCUUUAAGUUUAUACAAUUUCAAAUCUCUCACGAGAUUGUCUCUUAAUGUGCCAUCCCAAAAUUCACGGUCAUUUUAAAAAUUUUAUUUAUGCUUAUUGACAAUUAGAUUAUCCAUUUUAAAGAAUAAUAUUGCGGAAUUUGUUCCUAGAAAACAUGAUAAAUAUAUUACCAAAGCAUUUCCAAAGAAAUGUAUUUUGUUUAUAUUAAAACUUUGGGAUGUCAUUGUCAAUACAGAAACACAAGAAUAAAAAGACCAUACAUUUAUUUACAUAUCCUUUAAUCUGUCAGUGUAAUGUAUCUUUGUAUCGAUACGUGUGAUACAAAUAAAAUGAGUAGGUCAGGUUGGGAAACCUAGUGAGUACAUAGGGUUUUCAACCCACAAUAAUAUAGUUAUUAUGCUUCAUCAUCAAACAAUUAACCCGGUUACCCACCCGCAUUAUCUUCUUUAUUCUUAAGUAUCUUCCCAAAGAAUCAUCCAUUCCUCAAUAUUUAUUCCUAAGGAUUGUCCUAUGGAAUAGGCAUGAAAUCCAUUGUUGCCAAGAUUUAUAUAACAUGCACUAAGUCCAUAGUUUCCGAUGUUAUCUAUUAGGCACUAAGUCCAUAUCUACCGAUGUUAUCUAUUGGGCACUAAGUGCAUAGCUGCUAAUAUUCAUCUAUAGGGCACUAAAUCCAUAGCUGCCAACGUUCAUUUGUAAGGUACUAAGUCAAUAGUUGCGAGAGUUUAUUAAAGUACAUAUGGUGAACAUAUCAUUCAUGACACCUAUAGGUUGCGACUCUGCUAGCGUUCCACUGGACUGUCUAGAAUAGUCCCUGGUUGUCAUCUAUACUCUGCUAGAUGACCAGACCAUCGCUUUGGUCAAGGAUUCUCGUCAUCUUUCACCUCUUAUCAUUUAUAUCAUCUUUCAUCUCUCUUCAUCCAUAUCAUAUUUCAUCUCUCAUCAUUCAUCUCAUUUUUCAUCUAACCAUCUUUAUCCAUCAUGAUUAUAGGUAUAAAAUGUGUAUACAGUUUAAGUCGAAUAAAACAUGUAUAUUUUGUUCAUCCACCAUAGAAAUCAAGAACAAAAAUUAGAAGCACACACAACACGUAAUUUAUAUUAAAUACUUCAUAUAUAUGUGUAAGAUGAAAGUAACUAUGCACUCACUUUUUAAAGUGAUGGCUUGAAAUUCGGACAACGCUUCGCUUCUAAAAAUUGUUUUUUCCCUUAACGAAACCUAGCAUUAUUAUUUCUAACUUUUAGUCUAAUAUUUAUUGCGACUAAUUAAGUCAAUGUCUAUGAGCGAUAUUAUUUUAUAAAUGCUAAACAAUACUUUUCAAUUAAUAUGUACAGACAGGGUCCAGACAAGAAACACUGGUGGGCAGGACAAUUUUGGAAUUUAAUUAAGUUGUUUUGAAAUCCAACAACCCUAUGUGGCCAUUCAAACCAGAUUCCCUGUACCGCGAGCAAUUAAAAUGUAUUAUAAUUACACUUUUUAUAAUUUAUACUUAGCACAUAUAUUGAUUAUAGGUUCAUAAUAAUGAUAAUGAACUUAAAUAUAAGUUAUACUUAAAGAAGGGUAAGCAUAACACACUUACAAGGUAGUUUAGCGAAGAACCGGGCUCUGCGUGGGCAGAACUUCUGAGACGAAAACUCUUCUUCUCGGAGCCUUCUGGUGCUCUGGGACUUGCCUCCAACACUUGGGUAGUGCUAGGGAAUGGGAAGGGUUAAGAAGGAUGUUUGAGAGAGAAAGAAUGGGAAAGGUGUGAAGAGAAAUGAAGAAAAACACUUCUAUUUAUAGGCUGGGAGGCCGUGCAUACCUGGGGCGUACUUCGGAGUACGAGGGGCAUCAGAAGCCUACACCAUACGUACGAGGGGGCAGCUGUCAGCUUUGCAUGCAAGACCGUGGGGAGAAAGCAAGGGUUGAGAUGGUGCCACAUGGCACUCCUCGCAUCAGCCUAUACAUAACUUCUAAAUUUAGUAACUUUUGCAUAUGAGCUCCAUUUUUAAUGUCUUUAUAUGUACGUGUAGGUGGCAGCGAAAUCUACAACUUUCGUUUAGACUCCAUUGGCUAAUUUUGAAUUUAAUUUUAAAGUUAUAUUUUAACAUGCUUAGACAGUAAAGUCCAUUAAAAACUCAUAACUUUUUCAUCUAACGUCCAUUUCCGCCUGUCUUUAUAUCGUUGAGUUCCUAUUCAUGAGAUAUUCAAUUCUCAUUAAGGUUGUGUCGGCUAGAAAUUGAUCGAUCUAAAAUUCGAUUUUCGGGCUAUGCACUGCUAUGCUAAAUCUUGGAAAAAUCAUAACUUCCUCAUACGAAGUCAGAUUUGGACGUUAUUUUUAUUUAUGCUCUUGGUUUAAUGUAUACUAAAACUUUUGUAGAUCCUUAAGGCCGAAAAGUAAUUUAUCAAAAAUUCACUUUUUAUGUUACAUAGUGCCGUGCCGGUUUAGCCAUAAAACUUCGACAGGUCAUAACUUCUUCGUUUUAACUCGGAUUUUAGGGUUCUUUAUAUGUAUGGAACCCUUGUGAUAUAUAUUAUAACUUAGUUAAGAUUAUUUAUUCAUAUAACCUUCUAUCAAGAAGUCGUUUUUUGAUGCUUAUUGCCUUUAAAUUAACAAGCCCGAAUCUGUGGGCGUUACAAUUAUCUCCCCUUAAGAUGAUUACGUCCUAGAAUCAUCAACGAAAUAGGGCUUGUGUAAUGACUCCAUAUGUUAUCUUUUCAUCCUAGUUAAUAAAUGUAACUCUUAUGCCUUUUCUAACGAGUUUCUAACUGUUGGACUUCUUAAAUGUUGGCGGUGCUCAAUCUUGCAACCGCUCUUUAUCCUAUGUUGGUCUUUCAAUCAUAACCUUUGAGUUAUCAAGUCGAUCCUUAUUGGAGAAUCCUGAUCCUUCUUAAAAAAACUUAACUUAAGAUAAUUUCUUUACUUUGAUUAUUAUAAUAGUCCGAUAGGUCAUGUUCUAAUGACCUCUCGUCGUAUGAUGCAAUGCUUAGACUCAUAUCUUUUUUGAGUCAUAUUCUAGAAUGGAAGACACCUUACUUCAUGUUCUAAUGAGAUAUAAUCACAUUAUAGCAUGUAACAUGUCUAGCUACAAGUGUCUUAUUUUAACGGCGAUCGUGAUACUUCUAUUGAUCGCUUCGAUUAUCUUUCACUUAAAUCUUCUGGCAUAAGUCAGAUGUUACAUUGAAAUUGGUUCUCUGAACUACAUAGAAUACAUAUAUUAGUCAGAAUCGAUAUGAUAUGACCACUAGGAUCAGAAUAAUAAUCAUCUUCUUAGUCAUUACCGAAACAAUGGUAACGACAUACAUGAACAAAACGAAAUCAAUUACUAGUUCCUUGGUAACCUUGUAAUUUUCCCCGAUCCAAGUGUGAGUCCUAUGCUUCUAGCAGUAUAGGCCUUUUCUACCUUUCACACUGACUCAUACUCGUCCCAAGUAUUACCUCGCAGUUUUCCAAGUCACCAUACAAGAAUUUCACAUAGUCAUUUAACACACCAGAUAACAAAACGAAGGUUCAUAUUAUUUCUUGAAACGAUUACAUAGAUGUUCAAGUUCACCCUACACUAUUCCUCUUAUAAUAGGCUAUGGCACAUGAUACCAUUUAUAUGGCUACUUUAUAUCUUUCUCUUUGGAUAUAUAGAUCCAUACUCUUGAUCCCUUGUAUCCUUGCCUACUUCAUUAAGGAUGAUUUGGAAUGCUCUUGCCUUUGGCUUUGACGGUACGUUUGGCUUUGUAGCUCCUUCACUUAUUGGACUAUCUUGCUUGAAGUUUCCUUCACUACACUUAAAGCAGACUUCUCUCUUGGUUGUGCAUUCGAUGGCAUAGUGACCAGUCUUCCCGCAUUUGAAGCAGGUCACUUCUUUAGAGCAUCUCCCAAUGUGCUUCCUUUUGCAUUUGUCACACCACUUUUCUUCAUUGCUAUCCCCAUACCUCUUGUUUUUGGGGUCAAAUCCAGGAACCUAUUUUUCUUGCCGGAUCUUGAAGACCCCUCAAACUUCCUCUUCUUGCCAACUUCAACCUUGUUGGCGGUUCGGCCUUUAAUCAUUUCGUCAACAGACUUAGCAACCCAUAUGUCUGCCUCAAGAGUAGGUGCCUGGCAUACUGACACAAUAGGUUCGUCCUAAUUUUGUUGAAGUAAAUGCCUUGUCUCUUCAGUCUAAUGAUCCAACAUCAUCUGCGUCAUUUCUUGUACUCCUGCCAUCGUGAUUGGCUCGGGUGCAACUCCUACUUCUAGUUGACACUCAAUCACUUGUGGCUCAGGCUGCAAGUUAUCGCUUCUCAAUCCACUUAGAAUUCUAACCAUGUCGAUCUAUACACCAAAUCAAACGUUCGAUGUGCAGUGACAAGAAUUAAGAUAGGGAAAGCUUAAUAGAUGUAUAAAUCUCCUUAUCACCCCGAAAAGUUACAUGCCAGUUCUAAUACCGUAAUUAAACGUUUGGUCUUCUGAACACAUAAAGUUUCUAGAUCCGGUCGACAACAGAGCAUAGAUCCAAUCAAACGAUAGGAUCAUAAAGCAUCACAAAUCAUUUAGAACAUAAAAGCAAUUUAGGCAUUUUCUUUAAAUAAGCUAGUGCUUGUGUCUAAAAUAUAGCAGACACUUAUCUCACAAUCAUCGCUUAACAUUCUAAGUUUAAGUCUAGAAAUCCUACAAAUUCCUACUCCACUUAAACUAAUGCUUAUUUGAAAAUCAGAGUAUCCAUUGUAUACAAUAAUAUUGCAAAAUUUGUUCCCAGAAAACGUGAUAAAUAUAUUAUCAAAGCAUAUCCGAAGAAAGCUAUUUUCGUUAUAUUAAAACUUUGGGAUGUCAUUGUCACUACAAAAAAAUAAGCAUAAAUAGACCUUACAUUUAUUUACACUAAUGAUCUACAUCUCCUUUAAUCUCUCAGUGUGAUGUGUCUUCGUAUCGAUACCUGUGAUACAAAUAAAAUGAGUGGGUCAAGUUGGGAACCCUGGUGAGUUUAUAGGGUUUUUAACCACAAUAAUAAAGUUAUUAUAUUUUAUCAUCAAACAAUUAACCUAAUUACUCAUUCCCAUUAUCUUCUUUAUUCUUAAGUAUCUUCCCUAAGAAUCAUAUAUUCCUCAAUAUUUAUUCCUAAGGAUUGUCCUAAGGAAUAGGCACGAAGUCCAUCGCCACCAGAGUUUAUAUAACAAGCACAAAGUCCAUAGUUGCCGAUGUUAUCUAUUAGGCACUAAGUCCAUAGUUGCUGAUGUUAUCUAUUAGGCACUAAGCGCAUAGCUACCAAUAUUCAUCUAUAGGUCACUAAAUCCAUAGCUUCUAAUAGGGGUGGAAUUGGUACGGUAACGACUUUUUGUUUUCUUCAAACCGCGUACCGUACCAACUAUAGUUGGUAGGAGAAUUUAACUACCAGUACCGUACCAACUAUACUUGGUACCGGUUUAUUUGGCUACCAAAAAAUUUGGUUGGUACAUAUUGGUACUGGUAUAUACCAAAUGCUUUAACUAAUUUUUAUAUUUGAAGAGUUUGACACAUGAUUAACUAUAUUAGGCUUUACAUUGUAAUCAUCAUCCAACCCAAUGGUUAGAAAAAUUUCCAUAAUCGGAAACACAUUAAACAAAAAAAAUUGUCAUUGAUGUUUAGUACCUUUUAUAUGCAUAUAAAAUAAAAUAAAUAUCAUGGACAAUACAAAGUAAAUGUAUUCAACUAUGACGUUGUUAUAUAUUAACUAUACCGUUGUCUCACUGUCUUAAUUGUAAACAUUAUAUAUAAAGAAUUAACAAAAAAAUAUAUACUAGUCUAAGAAGUGAUUAGUUAAUUGUUUUUUGUUUUCUUGUUUUGAGUAAUACACAAGUAAUCGAGUAAUGUAUACGUAAUGUCAGACUUGCUGCUCUUAAUUGAAACAUAAAAAUGUGAUAAUUAAUAUUUCUUCAUAUGUAUUAAUUGAUACAUACAUAUAUAUAUAUAUAUAUAUAUAUAUAUAUGAAUUGGUUGGUACGAUACAACCGUGGUAUUCAAAAUUUUAUACCAUUAUCGUACCAAGUUUACUUAAUUGUUAUGGUAAUACCGACCAAACGUAUUGGCUACCGAACAUGUUGGCUACCAAUUCAAUUGGUUCGGUUGGUAACAUGUUGGUUGGUUCUCUAAGGUACAUAUUUGCCAGCCCUAGCUGCCAAUGUUCAUUUUGUAAGGCACUAAGUCCAUAGCUGUUAGGGUUUUUAGAGUACAUCUGGUGAACAUAUCAUUCACAAUACCUACAGGUUACGAGCCUACUAGCGUUCCAUUGGACUGUCUAUAAUAGUCCGUGGUUGUCAUCUAUACUCUGCUAGAUGACUGGGCCAUCGCUUUGGUCAAGGCUUCUCAUCAUCUUUCACCUCUCAUCAUUUGUAUCAUCUUUCAUCUCUCAUCACUCAUCUCAUCUUUCAUCUCUCAUCAUUCAUCUCAUUUUUCAUCUACCCAUCUUUACCCAUCAUGAUUAUGUUGGAUUAGGUGUCUAAGCCCAUAACUAUAAUUGGUAUGUACUUGAUUUGAUAUGUAGCAUGGUCCUUUUAGGUUGCCUUCACUCAUGCAACUUGAUAGGAUGACUAAUGGAAAGAGAGAGUAGGAUUUAUUAUAUGAAUAAUAAAUUGGUACUCAUAAUGAUUUUAUUAAUAUAUUAUAGGAUUAAUAUAUUAUUUGGAAAUCAUAUUAUUAAUUAGUAAUUAAUCAAAAAUUAAUUUGAUAUUAAUUUUAUGAUUGAAGGAACUAAUUAAUAAUGAAGGGGCUGUUUUGCAAAUCGUUGAUAGUUGUGGAACUGGGCUUAUGACUCCUUGUAAGUGGAGUGGACGAAAUUUAUGGGUGAACCCAUAAGAUUUCGUCCAAGGGUUCACUAAGGAGGUCCAUGGGUUUCUUUGAGCUUAAGUUAGGAUCUAGGGUUUCUUUAUUCAAGUCCAGCUUAAAGGUUAAGCAACCUAGCCCUAUAUAAAGCCCUAUAACCUAAGGAGUUUCGGCCAUAUGAUUUGUAAGAGUUUCCCAAGCCGAUUUCUUGUCUCUCAUUGUCAUCCUUAUUGUGUUGGGUGUUUGUGACUCUAUUAGAGGUGCAACACUUGGGGAACUAAGCUUUCAAGAGUCAAGGUGGCUCUUGUUAUAGCUACAUAACAAGUGAGGUAAUGAUCAAACCCUAAUAUUAUAUAUGAAUUUUGAAUUAUAUAUGAUAGAUCUGGGGUUAUUACUUUGAUGUUCAUAUUUGUAUGCUUAAUAGAGAAAAACUUAGAUCCAAAGCAAUUAGGGUUGCAUGAUCACAAAAGAUUGUAGAUAUGCUCAAAACCCAUCAGAUUAUAGGUAUAAAAUACAUAUACAUUUUAAAUUGAAUAAAACAUGUAUAUUUUGUUCAUACAUCAUAGAUAUCAAGAACACAGAUAAUAUGAAAACAUAGCACAUAAAUUAUAUUAAAUACUUCAUAUCUAUGUAUAAGAUGAAAGUAACUAUCCACUCACUUGUUAAAGUGAUGACUCGAAAUUCGGACAGCGCUUUGCUUCUAACAAUCAUUUUUUCCUUCGACGGAACCUAGCAUUAUUAUUGCUAAGUUUUAGUCUAAUAUUUAUUGCGACUAAUUAACUCAAUGUCUACGAGCGAUAUUGUUUUAUAAGUGUUAAACAAUACUUUUUGAACUACUAUGUACAGACAGGGGCAAGAAAUGAAACACCAGAGGACAUGACCAUUUUGACAUUUAAGCUGAUCUGAAAUCUAACAACCCUAUGCGACCCUUCAAACCAGAUUCUCCAUACCCCGAGCAGUUAAAAGGUAUUAUAAUAACACUUUUUACAAUUUCUACUUAGCACAUAUAGUGCUGAUAGGUUCAUAAUAACGAUAAUGAACUCAAAUAUAAGUUAUACUUAAAGAAGGGUAAGCAAUAACUCAUUUAUAAGGGAGUUUAGCGAAGAACCAGGCUCUGUGCGGGCAGAACUUCUAAGCCGAAAGCUAUUCUUCUUGGAGCCUUCUAGCGCUCCAGGACUCGCCUCUAACACUCAGGAAGUGCUAGGGAAUGGGAAGGGUUAAGAAGGAUGUUUGAGAGAGAAAGAAUGUGAAAGGUGUGAAGAGAAAUGAAGAAAAAUACUUCUAUUUAUAGGCUAGGAGGCUGCGCAUAUGCGGGGCGUACUUCGGAGUAUGUUGGGCAUACUCGGUACGUGGGGCGUCUGAAGCCUACGUUGCGUGUAUGAGGGGGCAGUUGUCAGCUUCGCAUGCGAGACCGUGGGGAGAAAGUGAGGGCUAAGAUGGUGCCACGUGGCACUCCUCGCAUCAGCCUAUACAUAACUUCUAAAUUCUUUCACAUACGAGCUGCAUUUUUUAUUUUGUUUAUAUCCAUGUGUAGCCAGUGACGUAAUCUACAACUUUCGUUCAGACUCCUUUGGCUGAUUUUGACUUUAUUUUAAAGUUAUAUUUUAACAGGCUUAGAUAGGUAAAGUCUGUUAAAAACUCUUAACUUUAUCAUCUGACGUCCAUCUUUGUCUUCUUUAUAUCAUUGAGUUACUAUUAAUGAGAUCUUCAAUUCUCAUUUAGGUUGUGUCGGCUUGAAAUCGACCGAUCUAAAAUUCGAUUUUCGGGGUAUGCUAAACCUUAGAAAAAUCAUUACUUCCUCAUACGAAGUCAGAUUUGGACGUUCUUCUUAUGUACAUUCUCGAUUUUACAUAUAAUAGGACUUUUGUUUAGAUCCCUAUGGCUAAAAAGUAAUUUUAUCAGAAAUUCACUUUUUAUGUUACGUGGCGCUAUGCCAGUUUAGCUGUAAAAGUUUGACGGGUCAUAACUUCUUCGUUAUAACUCAGAUUUCAACGUUCUUUAUAUGUACGAAACCCUUGUGACAUAUACUAUAACUUAGUUAAGUUUAUUAAUUCUAAAUAACAUUCUAUCAAAAACUCAUUUUUUGAUGCUUAUUACCUCUAAAUUGACUAACCCAAAUUUGUGGGCAUUACACUUAAGACAUGAACCUAUACAUUGAAGUUGUAUCUAGUGAAUGUUAUUGUUUCAUUAAUUCAUUAAAGAAAAUGACAAUUCAUGGUAAUGAGAAUGGAUUAUUUAACUACAAAAUUUUAACAAAAUUCAUGUUGUAUUUUCAAUAUUUAAAUUCUUUAAUAAUUAAUACCCUUUUAGUUUUCCAAAACAUUAAUUAUCAAAGUCUAGGAUUCAAGUUGCAAAACGAAUAAAUGGUUAGGUAUCAUUUAUCCCAUCCACUUGAUUCAACUCAGUUGAUAUAGAUUAUAAAUUAUAUCUUACUAUAUAAUUCCUAGAGUUAUGGGAUCACAAAUAACAAAUUUAGUUAGACAUGUUUGAUCAUACACAUUAAACAACCUUUGUUUUUUUAAGACAACUUUAAAUGACAAAAGAUGCAUGAAAACUUUUGUCACAAGAAAUAACAAUUAUAAAGUUAUCAUAGAAAAUAUGUGUGAACUUGUUUUUAUACAAAACCAAGUUAUCCAUAUUCUCCAAAAACUAAUAUUUCCAGAAAUCAAAAAAUCUAACCGAACGUACAAGGUGGCUCUUGAUACCAACUGUUGGGCUUUUAUUCAAAACUAGUUUAAAAAACAUAGUAUUUGGCAAUGGAAGACUUGAUCAAUUUUUAAUAACAUAAACACGUUAAACCCACCAAGGAUCAUCUUGAAAAGCUGGAAAGAAAACAAACACAACCAAAGAAGAAGAAGAAAAAAUAACAACCUUUGUAGUUCUUUGAAUCCUCUUGGGAGGCUCGAAAGUUGAUGGAGAAUGAUGAACUUAAGAGACACCAAUAAGAUACCAACUUGAUGUAGAUGCUAGUCUAAAACUCUUAACUCUUGAGCAUGCAGUUCAUAACCAAAGUAUAAAGUUCAAGAGAGUAUAAAAGUAAGUAAUAUCUUCAAGUGAUAACCAUAAACAUGAGAGCAUGCAUGGAGAGGGGAGAAUUCAGAUUUUUUAUGCAAGAAUAAGAUUAAGAGAUGAAAGCCCUUUUAAUAAAGCCAAAACUUUUCCCAAAGGUCUUUAUGCUUUAAGUACAUCAUACCCCUACACAUAAAUGUCUCGUAUUCUUCUUAAGACAUGUAAUUAUUUUCAUUUAUAUAAUCAAAAUCCCAUAACAUUAUGAUAAGAUUUUUAUCUAUAAAAAGAAGUCAAAGUUUGUAAUUUUUAUAAACUCUUUUAAAAUAUAAAUCUUAACCGUUUGGUAAAAGAGAAAAAGUCCUUAAUGUCCAAAAUGUUGUACAUGACUUAAUAAUUCAUACCAUAUGAAUUAUGUACUGUUACUUGCUAAUAAAAUUAUUAUUUCCUAUAAUUAAAUAACCUCCAAUUUAAUUAUAAGAGUUUAUUGAAUAUUUAUUAAAAUCAAUUUAUAAUAAAUGAUCAAUUGUAUAAAUUGUUGUUAGUGUUGCCCAUUAGUAUCAUAUGUUAGUAAUAUGAGUUUAAUAUAACUCUUGAGCAUACAAGAUAUUUCAAUCUCCCAUUUGCAUAAGAUUCAUAUUACAUUAAUAUAGACAGUGGUGAAUGUCUAGCAACAUUUCACUGCCCUCAUCAACAUACGAGUUUGUGCCAUUCCAUCAACGCCCAUGAAACAUCCCAAAAAUAUAGUACAAAAUUUUCAUUUUUAAUUUAAGUAAAACAGUUUUCCAAUCAUCUUCCAUACAUCCCAAAUAAAACAAGUGUGUCAAAUAUCAUAAGAUUAGAGUGAAAUAUCUAGUGCAUAAUCUAUGUGGUGUGUGUAAUGCAGUCAUCUUAAGCUAUUCUCCUUUGAACCGAAGUACCUAAAACAUAAACUGAAAACCGUAAGCACAAAGCUUUGUGAGUUCCCCAAGAUACCACAUACCACACAUACAUGAAUCAAAUACUGGGCCCCCGUCCUCUGUCGGGCCUCGCCCGGUCUCGAGUCCCACUUGCCCUCGGGCCCCGCGCUCCCUCUCAGCCUCGGGCCUCGCUCGACAUCGAUCCCUGCUUGGAUUACAGAUAUGUCAAUCAUAGGCCGCGCCUAACAUUGGGCCUCGACCGAUAAAUGCAUGAUCACAUAAUCAUAUAAUCAUAUAAACAAAUAACCAUAUCAACGUAUAACCUUACUAACCUAUGAAAUAAUCAUACCAUACAUAUCAAACGAACCGGAAAUACCUGAAACCAUAAACCACAAAAUGUAAGCACAAAGCUUAGUGAGUUCCCCAAAUACCACAUACCAUACAUAGCAAACAAGUCAUACAUACCAUACAUAUCCAACAAUCAAUAAAAAGUGAUAUGUGCCAACCAUAGUCUUGCCAUUAUGCCACGCACCGUACCAUAGUCUUCCUUGCCAGGCUGGGGGCCAAAACCCUGGGUCUUACAAACAAGUGCCAGGAGCCACCUCUUGGUCUUCCAUGCAAGCAUCACAAAGACAACUAGCAUACAAACAACAACUACUUAACUAAUUAAUUGCAAGAGUCAAGACUCUAGUCUUGCAUACAGAUUGCCAGGAGCCAUCUCCCAGUCUUUCAUACAAUUGCCAAGGGCCACCCCCGAGUCUUUGUAUAAAACAUAAAUCACAUGGGCCGACAUUUGUGCCUUCGACCCAUAAUACAAUGAGGAGUUUAACCUCGAAUGUUGAAGCUCACUGAAAGAAAUCCCUAGCUGCUGUCCUGAUGACUAUCAAUACAAAAUAACACCCAAUUAACAAUUGGGUUCCAAUCUAUGGUCCAAAAUCCAUACUUGGGUAAAAUGACCAUUUUAGCCAUGGCCUAACUUAAACCAAACUGAGGCCUAAAUCCAUAAACCAAAAAGGCCCAAAACCAAAAUAUCCACAAAGGCCCACUUAUGGCCCUUAUUUCCAAGUUUUGCCCAACCCCAUAUCGGCCUUAUCCUAAUGCCCCAUAAUUUCCUUAGUCCGAAAGUUGAUCUCAGAUGGAAAAAAAGGCCCAAAGCAAAAAAGUCCAAAGGAGUGGUCCAAAGAUGCGAAGCCCAAAAACAUAACAAGUCCAAAACCCAACUGAGCAUUGUACGUGGGGCGUACGCUCAGUUACGCUAGGCGUACUCGACAAAUCCAGAUUGCGACGACAACUCGAUAUGAUGGGCGUACGGUUAGUUAUUUCGGGCAUAAAAUGACUAAUUCCAAAACUGAUAUUAUGGCUUAACUACUUAAGUACUUUACACCCAAAUUUCAAAGAACCUUAAAAUAAAGCUGUUAAUGUAUAAAGUUGGCACCUUAAUGCAAUUGUAUGUAUCAAUGGGACCCAACAACCAUAUUAAUCUAUUAAGACCCAUAUAAAUCCAACUAGAACAUGCAUAUAUCGACCAAAAGCAAGUAUCAAGAUACCAUUUUUACGAACUUACAAACUCAGAAAGGGCAAGAUCUAGCAAUAUUAGCUCCUGGUGUGGCUCAAACUCACAAGGAGGACUCAAAACCUUAAAAUAAGCACAAAUCUAGCCUUAAACUCAUAAAGGAUAGCAAGAAGCCAUGGUAUGAGUUUGAUACCUUAAAUGAGCUAGAGAUGAAGCCAAGAGUCUAGAUCUAUAAGUCUUCCGUUGAACCACAAUCUAGCACUAAACAUUUUUUCCUUGAAAAUGAGCAAAAGUACACCAAAAUGCAGACUUAGAUCUUACAAACACUCAAAGAGAGAUUAGGGUUUCCAAAAUGAGGCUAAAGGUCAGUGGAGGCUAAGAAAUGAGAGAGCCUUAAGCUUAUAAGGGUUUUUAAAUAGUGCACAAGCCCUAAAUAUUAGGGUUUGGCACUCUGCCAAUUACGCUAGGUGUACCCUAGCUUACGCUGGACGUACUCACCUAGGCACGCGCCAACUUAUUAUGUACGCAUGGGACCUAUCUUGCAAAUCUUUUCAACUAGGGACCAUUUCUUCAAUUAUUUCAAAUUUCCCUAACAUCCUCAUCUUAGGUCCGUUUCCAACCAAACCUUAUAUCCAUGGAAAGGUGGCGAUAAGCCCUAUGCUUCUAACAACUCACCAUAGCCUUAAAACUUCCAGAACAAAACUGAAAAUUCAUAAAUGACCGAGUUAUGAAAAUAUGAGUAUACCCUUGGGCUCAGAAAACACCAUCGAACAGCUGGAUCACUUAAACCAUAACACCCACAUCCGAAAAGGUCUAAAUCCUUUCUUUCCCAAGGAACUAAGCUUCAUGACAACUGAUGAUUGGGCCGCAACCUCGAAUAAUGAGGCAAAUCCAAAACCGAGUGUUACACCCUUGAUAGAUACACUAUUUAAACUUGCAACCAUGAUCACUCCGAUGAAAACUUCCUGUUCUCUCUUAACGCAUCAAUAAAACUAAUCCAACCAUUUGCAUACUCGAACUGAAAAAUCUUCUGACCCAUGAUGCUGAAACCACAAGUCAAACCGUCCAUCGAAUCAUUAAUCUGAGUAUCCAGUUCUCCCCCGCUUAAGGUUUGAACUACCUACAGUUCUCGUUUACUACAUCAAAAUCUCGAACUAGCUUCACCAACAGUUAUAAUCCUUGAUUCUCAUGGACUUUACCCAAAAUAGAAUCACAUAGUCCAUCGAAUAUUUAGCUCCACCCUAGAACCCUAUCAGAAAAGAAGAAAAGAACAAACAAUAGAGCUAAGCAGAAAUUCUAAGUCUAUGUAAUUCAAUUCAACAGGGUCUUUUGACGAAUGAAAGUACACAUGAAUGUUCCUAAGGCAACAUGACACUCUUGCCUAUCAACAAGCGAUCAGGUUACACAUCCUACUCACGAGUCGACCAACUAAGACAAGACCAGAGUCAACCGAGUUUCACCACCCAACCCGAGCAUCAAUAGGAUCCAACCGGCCAACAUAAUAUACAAAACACACUAGCUACCCCUACGUGUUUUGGGUUCCACCCCAUCCUUUUGGAUCAAUAAAGACCAUGGAAUUUACACACAGACAAUUGGUGGCAAGCGCUCUUUUCUAAUAUUCAAAGGGAAAGGCAAUUGAUGCUUAAUUGCUUACAAAUUGAGUGCAUACUAAAAUAAAGAGAAAGCUACUGAAUAAAUAGCCCAAAGAAAACUUUGGAAUAGUGACAUGAUGAACUUUAAUACAUACUAUUAGAAUACAUGAUCAACGUUAGUGGAACAUAGAAAAAUACAAUAAUUAUAUUGAAAGGAACUUCUUCGAGCUCCUAGGCACAUUUAAUUGGAAUAUGUGGUUCAUGAAGUGAAACAAACAACACAUGGGGUCCGAUAGAAGAAUUUCUAGUUGCUAUAACUAUAACACGGCAUGAAAUCUUUAAUAAUAGGUUUCACUCUCUCUGUUAUCUUAAUAAUACAGAAGAGGAUUAUCCUGUAUGCAACAAGCAUACCAAACAAGAUUCCCAGGUCAACCCACUUAGAGUAUUGCAUCUCGAUUUGCAAUACACUCUUCAAUAUCAUCUCACCAUCAACUGUAGGAGGACCUCCUGAGUACUCAGGGAACUUUAGCCCUUCAAACUCAUUUUUAUACAAUCCUUGUAAUACAUACCUAUGGAACGAAAUAUAGUACAUAGGGUAUCUCCAUAUAACAUGGGGUAAAUCAUUUGGCAAUCGAAAGAUCCCUGACGCUAGUAUCAUCAAUCCUUGGAUUCCAGCACCACAUAUGAUCCCCAUGAGAAAAUUUGGAACAAUGGUAGCUACAAUCAUCAUAAGACACUCAGCCAACAACAUUGACGCAAAUAUUACUAACACAAAAUAGAUAAAUAAUUUUGGUUCAGUUUGAAGUCCCAUGAGUGAGUAAGCUAUUGCUCCGGGGAUUAUGGAGAUGAGAAGAAGGUAUGGUGUUGAAGAGAUGGUGUUGCUGAUAACGAAUGAUCCAACCGUGUAAUGCCCAUCUAAUCUUUCCCAUUGAAAGACCUAUAUAUAGUUAUGAUAUAGUUAUUAGAAAAGGAAAAUAGUUUAAGUGCAUUAUUUUAUUCAAGAACAAGAAUAUAUAAGAUAUGUAAACUAACUUUUACUUCCUCCACAAAGGAGGGGAACCCGCCAAUAGCUAAAAUGGUCAAGAAUGAUGAAACAAACAUGAUCAUUGAAACCCUAUCCUGCGCCAUUAGGAAACAAAACAAUCUAUUCUCAGUAGGUCAACAUAUGAUUAGAAACAACACCAAUGUGUUUUCUUCAUCAAUAUUUUAUCCAAAAUUGACCUUGGUGGUAGAAAUUGGUUACAAACUAUAUAAAAUUGCAACGAAAAGCCCUACUGUGUCAUCAUACUUUAUAAGUGACAAUUUCUUUUCAGCAAAUACGGAAAGUUUUCAAUAUUUGCAGUGAUGAGAAAUUUGUAGUUCUCCAAUCAAAUGAUUUCCCACACAAAACUUGCAUUCCUAUAUUUCUUAAAGAUCCAUGAUUCGAAUAAUAGUAAAUAAUAAAUCAAAGUGAAUUUCAAACGAACACCAUGAAAUCAGCAUAUGAGACGCUUAUUAUUUUGUGCUAGUUUAUUCUUUACUACCAUGAAUUUUAACAUAAAAUAGGGGAUUUUGGGCGUGUUUGACAGAGAGCUUUUGCGAAUUUUUAUCUUUUAGCCUUUAAAAAUAAGCUCAAACUAAGUGAUGAAAAACUUACAUGAAUAGAGCCAAAUCCCAAACCAAUGUGGAAAAAGAUUGUUCCUAGUGAAAAACCAAACCCAAUAUAUAUGCCAAGGCGCAACCAAUAGUAUCCUGGAUCACGGUACAUGUUUAUAAACGAUCUUUGCGAUAACACCGAGCACUGUGUAAUGAAUUUGGCUUGUAGGCUUCGUUCUCUCAGAAUUAGGUCUCCUUUCUAUAAAAAAACACAUUCUUUUUAUUAUAUUCUACUAUAAUGUAACCUUUGUUAUAAGAAAGAACAAAGCAAAUAUGAUGUACCUCUCUACAUAUAGUGGAUAUUUCACUUUUCACUUCCGUAUACAUCUCGGAUGACUUGUAAGAUUCAGCAAGUGCAUUGAUUAUGUGCUCAGCAGGAACCUCUCCACGAGCAGUGUCCUUUAUAAACAGCAAGAAAGGGAUUAUAAUAGUGGGAAAAGAGCAUCAGUUGAAUAAGCAUUGAUCUAACAUGAACUUUGUGAUUCAGUAAAACGAAGUUUCAGUUAAAACCAAGGAUGUCAUAUUGAAUUCUAUGAGUAUAUAUGAAGUACUACUUAGACGAUGCAUAGAUAGCAACCUUUACAAUAAUUUUGACUUCUUAAUCGAAAAGUGAUAUAGCAUGACAACAUUUUUUUCUGUUUUAAUUUUAUCAAUCUUCUAUGACCGAGAUUUAACAAUUGUAACCUACCUUAUCAAAAUCCAUGUUGAUUGUCAUAAGGUAAUGAUCUGGAGGACUCUGGAGAUCUGGGCAAGGAAAACCAUUUACUGCAAAAAACUGAAAAUAACAAUAGGAGUUAUAAUUAAAUUCAUCUUCUUAAUAUAUAUUAAUAUCAUUAUUAUAAUAUUUUUCAUAAACACAUGCUGAAUAGAUUACCUGAUUUGCAGCCAAAGUAGGACCAAAGUAUAUUGUUUUCCCCAUAGAGAGAAGACAAAGAUUGUUAAAGAGUCCAAAAAGUUGACUACUAGGUUGAUGGAUUGCUGCUAAAACUGUCAUCUGGUAUUGCCGAGUGAGCUUCACAAUCUGGUUCAUGACAUGGUAUGAAGUUGCGCUAUCAAGACCACUCGUAGGCUCAUCAAGCAACAGAAGUUUGGGGUGUGUCAGGAGCUCUAAGCAGAUGCUUACACGCCUCUUUUGGCCACCACUUAGUGCUUUAAAACCCCAGCCUCCUAUUCUAGUGUUCACACAAUCUUGGAGCCCCAUCUCCCUUAUUGUUCUAUCUGCUCUCUCCCUCUUCUCGGAUCUUGGCAUCAUUUUGGGCAGUUGGAGUUCAGCUGAGUAGUACACGGCUUCUUUCACGGUUAACGUCCACAUUAAAACUUGUUCUUGAGUCAUAUAUGCCUACGUAAGAUAUAGAGUUAUUGUCAUUGUCUCCCAACAAACUAUCUUUUGACAUAUAUUCUGGUCAUUUAAGUAAUUUUCUUGUAAUAUGGAUCUUUAAACUCUAAAAAUCCAUGUCAACAAGACCAUUGCUCCAUAAGGUUGAAGGGAGUGGUACCAUGCUUAGGAUGUUGCCACAUCAGAUUUUUUGAAGCCAGAGAGUAUUAGUAUCCAAGUUGUAAAAAGGUAGAAAAUGGUAGUGUCUUAGCUUAAUAGAUUUUAUUUUCGAAAAAAAAUUAAACAAAGAAAACAAAAAAGGAUCAGCCAAUGAAAACCCAUUAUCCAAGUUUCUCUUUCCCCUCUCCUCUCUCCUCUCGCACGUGGGGAGCCUUCAUUUGCAGCGCGUCUAGCGCCUUUGAUGGGGGUGGUGUGCGGUGCUUUGGCGAGGGUGCUAGCGCCCAAAGCCUAACCGAAGAGGUGAACAUGUUACAAUGGUGAUGUGUCCAAACGACACUGACUUGGCGUCCAUGUGGCUUUUUCUAUUAUAAUAUUUUCCUUAUUAUUACUAUUAUUAUUUAAUUCACCUCCAUCUCCCAUAACUACCACGGUCCACCUACCACUCCAUCCAUCUCCAACAUUAAAGAACAAGAAGAGCAUUGAAUAUAACUACCGACAACAGCUUAUAAAGCAUAAACACAAUCUACGAGAAGCUUUAGAAGCAAGCUUCAAGAUAAAAAGGAAUUGAACUCAUAGAAUCUUUUAGGGAAUCAACACAAUGGAAGAUCUUUACUCUGAAUCUGCAGUAAACAACCAAGAUGACUGCCUUGAAAAAUCGAGUUGAAGUUCAUAAAGAACUGUUGAAACAAGUAAUAAAUAGUUCAUCAUAAACGAUUUGAACAUCGAUCUCUAUGUUUUUGGAGUUUUUUGUGAAGCCAUGAUGAGCCCAUUGUAUAAGUAGUUGAAUAACCAUUAUAGGUCUGUUUACAUCUAAAGUCAAAUUUUUUCUAUUUUGUGAUUUUCAUCCUACCUUUGUUGCAUCUCUUCCUCUCCACCAUCAAUGCCAUUAAUCGUUCUCCAUUACUAUGGCUUUGUGUGCGAUCAUGAAACCCGGGGAAAAUGGGAGGGACAGAUGGAGGGGGAGGGGUGAAGAGAAAAAAAACCGAUUAAUGUAGCGUUAGUUCAUUAUUUAUUUAUUUUCUCUAAUGUCAGAAAAUUAAAAAGAAGAAAUAUACCUACCCACUUCAACAUCAAUUCACUGAGCAAACAGGAAAAUAAAAAGGCAUAGCUAAUAGCUAUGAUAAAAAAUAAUAAUAAUAAAUAAAAUAAAAGGACUAAUGACUAUAUCUAUAGCUCAACAAUAAUCAAGAAAACACAUAACUUCUAGAUAUUGUAAAAAAUGGGUUCAAAUAUGGAAGAAAAAAAAUGCAAACUUUUGUGCUUUAUUUGUCUUGAUCAUGAGAACGUAUAUUUUCAUCCAUUAAUUAAGUAAAAAAACAAGUGAUUUAGCGUAGGAUUGCGUGCUUCCAUACCAAAGUGCCAUAGGUAAGCCUCUGUUUUUGUCCGUUAAUUAGAACUCGUCCAUUGUGCCUUGUAUUGGAAGCCAACCUCCCUAACAAUUAAUUAAAUAUUAAACAUGCAAAUCAUCUAAAAGAUGUAAUGUAGGGAUAAAGUGGAUAUAAUGGAGAAUUAUAUGCAGUAAACACGUAAUGUAAGGAUAAAGUGGAGAAUUAUAUACCAGCCAAUGAAUCAAGGAGAGUGGACUUCCCACAACCAGAAGGACCCAUAAUGGCAACAAUCUCUCCAGGUUUAGCAUAACCAGAGACACCAGAAAGUAUAGAUUUACAUCCAUCUUUCCCUGCAUUCCACUCUGAGCUUGAAACAACUACUCCAAGCUCUUCCCAUGUCAAGUACGCUAAACUCCUCCUUUCCUCCACAACACCCGACUCACACUCAACAGUUUCGACGUCUGGUUCUGGACUAAUUCCGUUGAUAUGUACCUGACUACCCAUGCAAGAUCAAAGCACAAAAUAAAUAACUAUUGAGAGAGAAAGAGAGAGUGAGGGUAACUUUAGAGCAAUAUGAAAAUUGUGACCGGAGUUGGGGUUAUAUGCCUAUAUUAAUAACUUUGAGAAUUCACGGAUACUUUUUUUAGUAAACAUUGUAUACCACAUAAAAAAACUAUAACAAAACGUUCUAAAUUACCUAAGAUGUGGUAUGACAUGGCUAAAAAUGUUCCAAUUUUGCAAAUAAUUCAUAAUUUACAAAAGUACAAAAACGAGCCUUAUGGUAUGUAUUUUUUUUUUUCUAGAAAAUGGUCCAAAUCAUGAAAUUUUUGGAUUGGUAGUUGUUCUGAACAUGUUUCGUAUGUGGUUUUGGUCUCUCUGAAAUAAAAAGGACUAAAUUGCCUUUAUUAUGUUUACUUUUUCAUUUUUUUUCUUUUCUAUAAGUAUUUAUGUUAUUUUAAAUAAAGAUAAAAGUCCACAUAUCCUAUAUACCCACCUCCUCUCUCUCAUACAUAUACACUAUUCGUACUACCACGAAACACCAUCACCACUCCAACCACUGUGAGCCACCCUUGAACCUCUAUAGAACCUUCGCCAACCCCAUCAACCACCCAUAUACCCAUCACAUUCAUCACCACCGAACGCCACCUUUAUCCAUCCACCAUAGCCAAUACAAACACACACCAUGACGGUGGCAAGAAACGAAGGGCUCUGAUAAACAUGGAAAAGAUGAUGUAGUUGUCCGACGCUGAAUGGUGACAGAGCGAUGGAGGUCAACGAUUAUUCCCCACCCUUAAUUUCUCACCAACAUCGACAACUAGAAACAACUCAAGAAUAUCGACACACACACUAUCAAUAACUUUGUUAUAGGUGUGUAAAUUGUAAACUAUUCCCUCCUUUAAAAUUGAUUUCCAGAAUUCUCAAAGAAAUCGAGACCCACUUUUGAUUUUGUCGUGUGUGUCUUAAUGGAAAAAAGAUCAAACAAAGCUCCACCCGAUUUCUAGGGUUUACUCAUGUUCUUUAUUUUCAUCCUGUAAUUCAGAAUUAGUUCAUGUUGAUGACUAUUAAUAUAAAUUGAAUAUAGAGUGUAUGUUAAAUCCGUUGAAUGGUUAUUGGGGUUUGAAUCACUCCUAGAUUUUUUUUGAAACCAUGUUGAGAUGUUCUUCACUAAUAAUGAUUUUGUAUCUGAGUUUUUUUGGUUUGAAAUUUCUCAUAGAGUCGAAUCAGAUCGGGAGGGGAGGUUGGUUGUUCAUCGAAGAUGUCAGAAAGAAGGGAAACACCACAACCUUUUGGGUUAGCCAGUUAUAUCACUAAAUCCAGAUACCCCAUGAUUUGUGUUUGUUAAUUGGAUCAAGUUUAUUGAUAAGAUGGAUUAUAAUUUAAGCUUCGAGUAAGGUUGAAUUUAAAGCAGGAAUACAUUAGUUCACAGUUGAAUUGAUCAUUGAGUUUUGGUUUGUGACAACUGUCAACAUUCGUCAAUGAUCAUCAAUCGGAAAUGUGACGAACGCUAAUGUAAUAGGUUUAAUGUAUAAUAUUUGACAAAUUUUAAUGAAAAUAAAAUAUUGUACAUUUAAAUAUAUAAGAAAAAGAGUGAGUGGAAUCUAUCAAUUGCGAAAAAUAUAGGUGCACAAAUUUUGUAUUAGUUUGUAUAAAAAUCAACAUAAUCCGAAAGUACGCAUCAACAUGAUUCCGAAAAUAUAAAAACAUCAAAAAGGGGAUUCAUACGCAAAAGUUAUGGCCAACGACGUAAAACGCAAAUUAGCCAAAAACGAAACUUCAAACGCUUCGUUAGGUGCCUUAGGAGUUGAAAUUUCAAAUUUGGAAAACUUUCUUAUGAUCAUACAAAAAUCGAGUUUAUAAAAAGUCUAUAUUAAUUAUAUUCUCUACUAAAUUUCUUAAGGUCGUUCAGAGUAAUAACUAUUUCACGUUAACGAAUCUUCAAACGAUUCAUUAGGUAACUUACAGAACUCGUUAGAAAAAGUAAGCAACAUUUUAUAACUCAGAAAAUAAUCUAGUAUUUGAUUAAUUUACUAACUUUUAUGUUUCGCGAAAAUCUGACAAUUUUGUGAAAAACUAUCGAAUCGCAACACCCGGGAAACCACUGUAAACCGUACUUUCAAACGUUUUGUUCCCAUAAAUGCGGGACUCAUUAGGUGGAUAUUUUUACAUGUUACGACUCAGUUUAUCGACUACUACAAACCUGUAUGCUAGGAAUUUUUUUAAGGAAGUUGAAUUUCGGACACAAAAUCGAGGCCCAACAUCACGCGACAAAUCACAUUUAUCUUCGUUUCAUAUUUUAUGAAACAUAUUUGUACUAUGUCGAACGUUAAACUUCCAAAAAUCAUAAGUUCUACAUAUAACGUCAGAUUUUGGUGUUUAUACUCACAAGUUCGUAAUCAUGACUACUACAUCUUUUGUCAAGAUUAUUUAUUGUAGAUAAUCUUCUAUUUAUAAAUGUUUAUGUAACGAAAAUUGUUUAAGUAUAAAAUAAGCUUUUAUAAAAAAUAUUUAUACCCACAACAUUUUCACCCACUUAGGAUAAUUUCCUCCCCAAAAUCACAAACUCAGUGAAUAUAUGCGGUCCCUGCCACUCAGCUUUCCCAUGUAAGAAUUGGCUAUGUAAUGGCCCUCACAGUACUAAAUCAACCAAUUUACUUGUUUUAUACUUGAAAUAAUACUUUAGUUCCUUUACAACACCUUAUCAGCUUGUUGAUGUAGCUCCAUUAUUGACACAUCAACUUUGUUCAUUACAGUUUCACUAUAAAUAUGCGACUUUAUUAUGCUAAAUUCUCACACUCUUAUCCAAUGACAACAUUUGCAAACUUUACUAUUUCAUGUCGCUUUCGGGUUUCGACUUUGUCGGGUUACAACUGUCUUCACAUUAUCACUAAUAGAAGUAUUUUGAAGAUAAUCCAAGAAUAAUCUUGAAUAAAAAAUCUUUACUUAUUUAUGAUACAGAGUCUAUGAAAACAUUCUUUGUAGACCAUUUCUCUACAUAUGUGAUGCCCAGAAAGGUAUACCUUUAUCAAUUGGUCAACUACAACCUAUAACACAUUAUGGUCCUACAUAAUCAUGGGAUACUUGAUGAUAAGAUCGAUGAUAAAAUCGUCCACUCUUACCCAUAGGUACAGGUAAAGGUUUCAAGUUCCUCAUGAUAUUUGAUGUCAUUUUCUCACUUGCCAUCCAAAACACCUAUUUUAUAACAGCACCAAAACUAAUAACUCUCCCUUAGCUUAUUGUGUUGUGACUUUUGUGGACCUUGACAUCAAAACAUAAUUCAAGUUGCCUUUAACACUUUUGCCUUGAUGGUUGGUUCUACCUUACUUUGGUUCGAACCCUCACCUUCUACUACUUACAAUCGAUCAAAGACCAAACUGGCUCUGCCUAUGUGAUUUGUAGCUACCUUUCUUCUUGGAAGAAACUCGUAAUUGUCAUAUCAAUGAAUUUGACGUCCCUAAUGUAGUAUUAAUACUUGUGCAUACAGUGAGUGAUCUUUCCCACAUAACACGACCACAAAGCAAUCAAGAUCAUGAGAAGUACAAAGUCUUCCUCGAACGCACAUGUAUACAAAAUGUUAUAAUAGGAUACGAGUUAAUGUAUUGGAAAUUACAAGAAAUAACCACGGUUGUUGAACUUAAUAUUAUCCUCUCCUCUUCUUUGGAAAAAUCAUCCUUGUUGCACUCUAACUGAUUCUCUGGUAAUGAUCCUCCCGACCAUGUCUGAAGCAUUUGUGUGCAAACAUACAAAAGAAAAUCGUAUGCACUUUCAUGUACUAGCUACAAUGAUUGUAGCUCCCCUAGCAUGCUAAUUGAGAACCAAUAGGAUAUAAUCUAUUUUUCUAUGGUGGUGCUUGAACCUUGUCACACCCACAAACCAAGGAUGGCGGAAACGUCCGGGGGUGGAUGACUUCAUGUAGAGUAUCACAACAACGAGUAUAAUAGUGCUCAAAGUAAAUACAACCAUCAUAAAUAUAAUUGAAAAAGUUACACCAAAGUAUAUGUUUACAUGAUUCGAAUCAAUUACAUUAUGAAACAAAAUGAACUGUUUGACGAUUUAUCGUCCCAUCCUCAAAACGUUGUUGAUUUCCUGUUUUCACUGAAUUCCUGAGAAUACAAGUAGUUUUGAAAAGUGUCAACACAAAGGUUGGUGAGUUAAUAAGCCUUUGACAGUAAGAGUUUAAAAAUCGGUCUUUGUAAAGAGAUGUAUGUUGCCAAGAAAAAUCCAAUAUUUUCCUUAUAAAAGUUAUGUGGUCCUAAAUGCCAGUACCGAAAAAGUACAAGUAUUUGUCAUACUUAAAGAUAUAAAAGUGGUUUCAAAUUGGCGUAAAACCCUUUCUGAUUUGAGAAAAACUCUCGUAAUGAAUGGUGUGUAGUCUUAAAUACUAAGACUGAAAAUAUACAGCGAUAUUUGUAAUUGAUAUAAAAAGUGAUUUUAAAUGAACAUAAAACCCUUUUUAAUAUGAAGACGUACAAGUAUUUUUUCCUUACUUAAAGUAAUUUCAGUGAGCUAAAUAGACAUAACUCGCUAAUUUAAAGUUAGAACCCGUAAAUCUUAUGAUUGUUAAUACCACAUGUGAGCUAUCAUAACCAUACUUGACAUAGACGGCCUCGUAAUACGACGUUCUUCAGGCGUCGCCGUUAAAUGACACUUGUCACCACAGACCUGCCGGUCUAGCUGUUGCAAGCAGCUCUGGUGUGGGUUUGUCAAACCCAAUAUAGAUCUAUACACAACUAUCACGUUCUCCCUACAAGAGACUCUGGUUACAAUUUACAGGACUUUUUGACUUUGUUACUUUGGAAGUAACCCGAAGGGAAUGACUCACAAAUUUAUUCAUUAACAGAUUUACGUGAACUAAACUGAAAACCUUUGGUAAAUAAGUUUGAGAAGUAAAUGAUACAUAAACUAUACCUAUUAUAGUUUAUCCAAAACGUUUGUAAUGUAUAAUAACUCUUUUAUGAAACGCAUUUGUGCUAUGAAUCCAUAAACUAUGCUCAUUAUAGCUUAAUAUAUGUGUUCUAAAUGAAUGAGUAAUGUUAUCAUGAAUGACUAAGUUUCAGUUUAUGAUGAUAAACUAACAAGGAAACACAUUCGAUAUUUAGAACUUAUUGUUAUACACUUUGCUCAACAUAAUACAAAGUGUUAUGAAAUUUAUAUGCUGUUAACUAAAUUUAACCUUUCUGCGCUGUUUUAGAAAAGUCAUAGAAAAAUCAUACGAAGUCGAAAACUAAAUCCGUAAAUUCUGAGAGUUCCCAAAAUGUGUCUAGUUUACUCAUAAUUUUUAUCAUGAUUUUUAAUGACCUCCAACUUGGGUGAAAAAGUCCAUAAUCACAGAAUUGUCCGGAUUGGUGUUUGAAAUGAUAGGCAGUUUUGUAAAAAUCACCAUAAAUUGUAGAAAAAUCGUAUGGAGAUGUGCAAGUAGUCAUUUUAAAGCUAAGAACUAGAACUACUUACACCUAAAACAGUUUUUNCCCUAAAAACUUGAGAAAAUAUGAAAAUGUUGGGGUAUGAACUCACUUUGAGUGAUUUCAGAAGAUGAGUGUUGAAGAAGAGAAGUGUUCACCCCAGGAACACUUGAAGAUUCGAAGAUCUAACACAAUUAUGAUGGAGUUAUGAAAAUGUUGGGGUAUGAACUCACUUUGAGUGAUUUCAGAAGAUGAGUGUUGAAGAAGAGAAGUGUUCACCCCAGGAACACUUGAAGAUUCGAAGAUCUAACACAAUUAUGAUGGAGUUUGUGUAAGAUAUCCAUGAUUUGAGUAGAAAGAAGUGAAAUAAUCAUAAGGAGAAUGGAUUUUGCUUACCAAAUGUGGAGGAAAAACCCAAGAUCAGCCCUUGAAUCUCGAAUUCUAGAGAGAGGAAGUGAGAGAGAAAAGAGUUUGAUCUUUUUGGUGAAAAGAGAGAAAAUGAGAGAAGUGAGGAGAGAGGAGAGUUUUCUUACCCUUGACCAAGUGUAUGGCUGAAAAAGGGUGGGAAAGUACCAUGAAAUGACUAGGUNACAUUGAAGUGACCUAGGUAAGGUGGGGAGGUGUGGCUGGUCAUAGAGUGGGUGUGGGAGUGGUUGUUUGUGUCAUAAGGUAAAGCUAAGUAAACACUCUACCUUUGUACUUCACCUACUCUCUUGUGGAUAAGGUUUUAUCCUUAAAACGUGAUUAAUUAAUAAUUAAGGGUCCUUAUAUGUUAAAAUAAAGUUUUGGGUGAAAAUCCCGUGUUAAAACAAUUAAAAACGGGCCUAAAACGCAAAAUUAGUCGAAAACCGGGAGAAAANNNNNNNNNNNNNNNNNNNNNNNNNNNNNNNNNNNNNNNNNNNNNNNNNNNNNNNNNNNNNNNNNNNNNNNNNNNNNNNNNNNNNNNNNNNNNNNNNNNNNNNNNNNNNNNNNNNNNNNNNNNNNNNNNNNNNNNNNNNNNNNNNNNNNNNNNNNNNNNNNNNNNNNNNNNNNNNNNNNNNNNNNNNNNNNNNNNNNNNNNNNNNNNNNNNNNNNNNNNNNNNNNNNNNNNNNNNNNNNNNNNNNNNNNNNNNNNNNNNNNNNNNNNNNNNNNNNNNNNNNNNNNNNNNNNNNNNNNNNNNNNNNNNNNNNNNNNNNNNNNNNNNNNNNNNNNNNNNNNNNNNNNNNNNNNNNNNNNNNNNNNNNNNNNNNNNNNNNNNNNNNNNNNNNNNNNNNNNNNNNNNNNNNNNNNNNNNNNNNNNNNNNNNNNNNNNNNGAGUGAAAACGAUUGAGAGCGGUUUUGUGUGUGACGAAUGUGAGUGUCCGGCUUCGCAAUGCAAGGUCUGUAAACCCCGUUAAGCCUUGUUUAAGGAUCUUGCAUACUCCCGAUGAGUAUGCAACAUUGUUUUAUCGGUUUGGCUCGCCACGUACCACAGUUUUAGGUUAAGGAGAUCUAGAUAUAUGCACUUUUCGAUUUAUGAUCUCUCAUUAGAAUAGCGAGUUGUUUAGAAAUUACAUAACGUAAACUCUAGUACCUACGGGCAAAUCGACUUGACCGGUAUGACUUGUUGACUUUAGUUGACUUUGACUUGACCGAAAAUUGACGGUUGUCACAAACCUGUACCAAUUCUUUCUUUUAGAUUAGGUGUCUAAGUUCAUAACUAUUUCUGGUAUGUACUUGACCUGGUUGGCAUGGUCCAUUUGGGUUGCAUGGCAUCAAGACACUUGGAUAGACAAAAUGAGAAAAGGACACUUAUGGUUUAUUAAUAUAUUAUAAGUUCUAAUAUAUUAAUAAUAUUAUUUAAUUAGUAUUGAUCAAGAAAUAAUUUGGUGAUGAAAAAGAGACUAAUUAAAUAUAUGGGGUUGAUUGUGUAAAUCAUCCAUUCUUAUAUAGUGGGCUAAUGAUCCAUGGUUUAUUGAAUUGGGCUAAAACCCAUAGGGUGCUCCAUGGAUAGUCCAUGGAGGUUAAAAACCAUGGAUCAUUGAGUAAAUGAAAAUCCAUAUCAAUUAGGGUUUACAUGGUGUAAACCUACUUGUGACACAACUAUAAAAGAACCCUAUGGGCUACCAAAAUCGACACUAAGUGUAGAACAAGAAGGCUAGCCGAUUUUGAGUGUGUGUAUAGUUCUCUCAAAGUUAUUCCAAGACUUGUGGUGUUGUGUGAAACACUUGAGGCAUCACAUUUGGGGUGCUAGGUCACAAAGUUCUUAAGGAAUCCAAGCAACAAGAAAGGUAUGUUCUUUUACUAGCUUUUAUUUUUCAAGUUCCCCAUGCCAUGCUAGUUAGGUUAAGAACCUUGGAAAAAUAAAAUUUGCAUGUAUCCUAGUAAAACAUAGAUCCAAGGUUUCUAGGGUUGCAUUUACACCGUAGGAGUGUUAGAAUGCUCAAAACCCUUCAAUGGUAUCAGAGCCUAGGCUUGUUUUCUUGAUACUUGAUGCAAAUUGUUGUAGAAACUAAAAUUCUUUGCAUUGUGCUGAGUGAACUCACCGAGUCCAUGGGGGGACUAAACAAGUCCAUGCAUAUAUUCAUCCUACUCGUCGAGUAUGUUCAUGCACUCGACGAGUAAGAGGCCCAGAGUACGGUUUUUCGAGUUUUGCCACUGGAAAUGGACUAGAAUCAUUACACUUAACUGUUUUAGACUUAUAAAACCUAUUUUUGAUGUGGUAAUGAUUAUGCUAAUCCAUUUACAAUGGUGAUUAUCAAAAUUUCCAGUUUUAUAUGUGUUUUUAUGAUUCUAGAAAUUGUUGAUAUGAAUGUUCAUGCACUUAUGAGUUUGGUAUAUCAUAGGAAUUAUUUGCAAAUUGUUUGUUAGUUUAAUUCUUGAUCUAAAUGUUUUUAAUGGAAUCUAUAAUUUGUCCUCAAGUUAUGGAUUCCCAAAAGUCUUUCUUUUAAAGUCCAUUAAAGAACACAUAAGUUACAUAAAAUGAAGAGUCUUUAUUUUAAUAAACCAUUAACUCAUAAGUUAUGAAGUUGAAAAGUUUUGAAUAGUUACAAAACUUGCCCUCAAGUUUUGGAACAUGUAAAGUCACUUUAGAAAACUUUAGUUCCAACCCCUAGAAUUUUAAAAGUUAAAGAUCAACCCUUAUACUUUAUAAGAUUAUAAGUUUAUAUAUAUAUAUAUAUAUAUAUAUAAGAACAAGUCAUUUUACCGUUAGUAGGCCUCAUUCACGAAGCCGAUCUAUAAGUGGGUAUAAGGUUGUUGCCUAUAAAAUGGCAACUUAAUGGGUGUCCACUCUCACCAACCGCUUCCUUAAAUGGUAGAGGGUCGUUAGCCGAACGGGUAGGACAAUUACUUUAAUCCUCAUUAAAAGUAUAAUGAUUAUAAAGUAACUAAAUGUUUCAUAAAUUCCCAAUCUUAGUUUCUUUAGGAAAAUGUGAAUUUGGUGCUAACCCAUGACUUAAGGUUUAUCAUAGAUCGGUGGAGCGCGUGUGGUUAACAGGCACAUCGAUUAGGUGAUAAACAUUAAGAAUACCUAGUAAUUUGCAUGGUUAUUCACACCUUGUUUUGUGAUCCUUGGUAUCCCAGUCACAAAACUUGAAGGGCACAAUCGAGAUUGAAACAUGCCAUUGAAAAGUUAUGUAACACCCUGCUUUUAUAUGUGUCAGUGGUAUUGGGCUUCUCGUUGCCCUCGCAUGAAUGUGAAGUAAUUUGGGAGCGGGUUUAGAUUAGAAGAGUUGAGGUGUUGUGAAGUUGAAUGUUGUUCAUAGCCCUUUUGUGUAAUGAGAAGGAGAUGGCCCCAUGCAUGCAUGGAAUGCAUGAAAGAUGUUGUCUUUAAGAGGUGGUUGGGUACGCCCAGCGUAAGCUGGACGUACGCCCAGCGUAAGAGUAGGAAUGAUGCGCGUUGGCCGAGUGAGUACGCCCCGCGUACCAGGGAGGUACGCCUUGCAUACUCACAGAAAUCCCUAACCCUAUUUUUAGGGUCAGCCACUAUAUAAGGAAUAAGAUGGUUCACCCCUCAGCCUCCUUACACUCAUCUUCAACCUCAGAGAAACCCUAAAUCUCGUAUUUCCUCCAUAUUUGAGUGUGUUUGAUCUUGGAAAGCUCUUAUUGGCAAAAGAAAGGCUUGAAGGAGAAAAGGGAAGUUGUCAAGGAAGGAGAGGGACGAUUGGAGCUUGUAGAUCUGAAGAGAUACCAUCCUUUGGAGCUUGUCUGAGGUAUAAAGCUUCUUGCUUGACCUUCAUAUUGUAUAGAUCUAUGUAUUUUGAAGCUUUGUCCCCAUUCUUGUCCCAAAAGUCUUCAUCUUGUUGCAUAGUCCGAUUUGGUCAAGUGUAGCUGUCCUUUUAGACCUUUGGAGAGGUCUUGAGUGAUAAAAAUGAGGUCCCAAGGGCUGUAGUUAUUUCAUGUAUGAGUUAUGUGGGUCUUAAUGGAUUAAGACCUUGGAUUAAGAGCUUAAUGACGUCCCAAGUGAUAAAGUCUGAGACUUUAUGAGUUCCAAUCAUGUUUGGCCUAUGGAUCUGGAGUUUGGGCUUAAGAGCUUAAGCCAUUAAGCCAUUAUGUGGAUUUGUUGAGCAUAAGGGUUACGCCCCGCGUAGCCUUAUGCCCCGUUUCCCCUUGCGAGUCGUUGCUGUACGCGCCGCGUACCAAGGAGGGUACGCCCAGCGUACUCCUCCUGUUGGAAUUUCAUAUUUGGGCUUCGAGUUUGGGCCGUUAGUGGAUAGUUGGGUGUUGGGCCAAGUCUGUGAAUUUAUGGACAGAGUGUUUUGGGCCCAAUUAUUGUUAUGGACCUUGGUUCUAGGCCCAUUUGGGGAAGUGGGCCCAAUUUGGUAAAUUGGGCCAAUGUUGGACUUAGAAUGAGGAUUUGGAUUUUGGUCUUGGUCCGAUAUGUGGAAGCAUGCUUGACCUAAUGUUUAAUUGUUAUGAUGGUUAGUUCGGGAUUUGCGGUGAGUUGGUGGUUCGAGAGUCUGCUUCUUCAGUUUAGAGUAUCGGCAUUCGCGAGGUGAGUCUUCUCACUGUUUGUAUGGGUCUAGGGAACCAAUGCCGGCCCAUUUAGAAUAUGCAUGAAAGACCAGGGGGCGGCUCCUGGCACACAGUAUGUUACCUUGUAUGGUAGGAAGGCCCGGGGGUUAGCCCUAGGCAAUAUGUAUGAAAGACCGGGAGGUGGCUCCUGGCGCAUUGUAUGCUAUAGAUAUGAAAGACCAGGAGGUGGCUUCUGGCACACUGUAUGUUGUUUAGCUAAGUAGAGUAGUAUGUACGGUUGUCUGUGUGAUACUUGCAUAGAAGACCAAGGGGUGGCCCUUGGCACGUGUCUGUAAGACCAGGGGGUGGCCCUUGGCAUUAUUCUGUAAGACCAGGGGGUGGCCCUUGGCACACGUCUGUAAGACCAGGGGGUAGCCCUUGGCACUUGUCUGUAAGACCCAGGGAGUGGCCCAGGCUUGACCAGGAAGACCACGUGUGGCCCGUGGCAUAAUGGCAAGACUAUGUUUGGCACAUAGCACCUUACUUGGUUAUGGAUAAGUCAGUUAUGUAUGGUUCUUGGCUAUGAAUGGUUUGUAUGGUAUGUGGUAUCUGAGGAACUCACUAAGCUUCGUGCUUACGACUUUUAGUUUUGGUUUUAGGUACUUCCGGUAGCGGAUGAUGGAGCUCAGGAUGAUCGCAUGGCACACACCAUAGAAUAGUCAGCCUGGGAAUGUUUUACUCUGAUAAUAAACAUGUGUUUUGGAAACUAAUACUCUGUUUAUGUUUUGAAAUGAUGAUUUUACUUGAAGUGAUACUUUAUUAAAAGAAAAUUUUAGUCUUGAAUUUUGGGAGGUUACAAGUUGGUAUCAGAGCCUUGGUUUGAGGGAUUCGGGCAUACUCUCGGGUGUGCCUGAACUCAAACUGAGGGGUCGGAUAAAGAGUUUUCAAAAAUGAAAAGACAGUUUUGUAAAAAGAAUUUUGAGAACGAAAAACAGUUUUAGAAAAGCAAAAAGAAUUCAGAAAGAAAAGAACUUUGAAAAGAGAAAAGAGGUGUGGUGCAUGCAAUCAACCGAGCUCAAGUAAGUACCCCAAAUUACCCAUACAAGUUUAUGUUAUGCUUAUCAGUUGAUAAAACAGCAUGCUAGAAUAGGACUAAGGAUCUAGGGAUGAUGCCUUAUGUGCCUGUUAUUUGUGCUUUUGAGCUGCAUGAUAGUGCUGAUUAGAUAGUAGUAGGAUAGCCUGUUUAGGUUAUGCCUGAGUUUAUGAGUUUGUGUUGCAUGCUAGUUCAGAUUCUUGCUAUGUGGAUAUGAUUGCUUGAGUAUGUUAUGGUUAG
RNAcentral lists this long non-coding RNA (74040 nucleotides) under Lactuca sativa (garden lettuce). RNAcentral's name for it is "long non-coding RNA (LSAT_LNC005485)". Lineage: Eukaryota; Viridiplantae; Streptophyta; Magnoliopsida; Asterales; Asteraceae. The record is from RNAcentral.